GUGAGGCUACUAUGCUAUCGGAAGCACGGAGCCUUCCGUGCUUCCAGCUCGUUUUCGAUGUUGCGACUUUCGAAUCGUCGAUCGGCUCCGUUAAACUUGAUCUAGAGUAUUUGAAGUACCUAGAAAAUAAAUUUUAUGAUUUUACGAUAUCAUUUGCCUAGUGAACGAAGGGGCUCAAAAUCAACGGCUGAAAAUAAAAAUCUUACAAAAUGUGAUAAUAUGACAUUAAAAUUUUAAAUCAAAGAUAUUGAUCUUGUUUUAUAUAGUAUAAAGAAUUUUCUAUCAAAAUUUCACGUGAUUUGGAUAUUUCUACACCGUUAAACUUGCAAAUGGCUCACUACGACCAUUGAAAUUUGUUGAUUUUGAGCCCAUUCGAUCACUAGGCAAAUAAUAUCGAAAAAUAAUAAAAUUUAUUUUCUAGGUACUUCAAAUACUCUAGAUCAAGUUUAACGGAACCGAUCGAUGAUUCGAAAGUCGCAACAUCGAAAACGAGCUGGAAGCACGGAUGGCUCCGUGCUUCUGAUAGCAUAGUAGCCUCACUCUAUAUAUAUAUAUAUAUAUAUAUAUAUAUAUAUAUAGUAAGGCUGCUGUGCUAUUAGGAGUACAGCAGCUCUUGUGCUCCUAACUUUCUAACCACACAUCAAGUUUGAUGGUGGUUAGAAUGAAAGAGGGAUGGGAUAUUGGGGAGAAAUUGGAUGUCUCAAUUUCUCUUCUUCUUGAAUUACUUUUCAAUAUCUCAUUCCUCUUUAUUCUAACCACCCAUCAAACUUGAUGUGUGGUUAAAAAGUUAGGAGCAUAAGGGCUGCUGUGCUCCUAAUAGCACAGUAGUCCUACUCUCUCUCUCUCUCUCUCUCUCUCUCUCUCUAUAUAUAUAUAUAUAGAAUUGAGCUAGAAUAUUGGUUGGUGCUUCUAGGUUUCUAAUCCUUGGAUUUACUCCUUGAUUACUAAUAACUCUUGCAUCAAACAUUAUUCUACCUACCACCACCUACCACCAUCAUUUCAACCCUACAUCUCUCCAUCCAAUGGCUAAAAACUCAAAAGCACUAAGGCACUAAGGGGUAGCCAUUGGAUGGAGAGCUGUAGGGUUGGGAUGAUGGUGGUCGGUGAUGAUAGGUGAAAUAGUGUUUGAUCCAAGGGCUAUUGGUAAUCAAGGAGUAGAUCCAAGGGUUAGAAACCUAAAAGCACUAAGGGGUUGGUUCUUCUAAAAAUAUUCUAGCUCAAUUCUCUCUCUCUCUCUUUCUCUCUCUCUCUAUAUAUAUAUAUAUGCUACUAUACUAUUGAUAGUACCAAAUGUUUGAUACUAUUGAGUUUUUGACCAUUGGAUGAAAGAAUGAGCUUGCGAUUUGGAGUUUAGAAGAAUAUUUGUGCUAGUUUUAAAAAUUUAGAUGAGUGUUAGUAGGUUGGAAUAAUUAGAGGCGAAUUGAUGAUAUUUUAGAUUUUGGAGUGGUAUUUAUAAUAUUUUGAAGUUUAGGGGUAGAUUUGAAAUUUCCAAAAAAAAUAGUAAAACCUUGGGCAUGUUUUGUUUAUCUAUUUUAGACUAUGAAAUUGAAAUAAAAUUCAUUGAUUUUGAUUGUUAUUGUUUGCUUUAUAAGAAUCGUAUUCCGAAUCUCAUUUUAUUCGGAAAUGGGAAUAACCAAAUCAAUUUAUGGUCCAAUCCGACUUUGAAUUCCGGAUUAGCUAAUUUCAAAAUAAACUACUCAAAAUCUUUCUUCAUCAACACCUCUCCCUUUUUUACUUUCCUAUUUCUUAAUUAAAAUUCUCACUCAAAAAUUUUAAAUUUUUAUUCCGAUUUUUAUAUCAAUAAUGAGCUAAACAUUUUUGAAUGAUUCGUCAUUCUAUUUUCUAUUUCAAAACAAUUCAAUUUUAUUUUUUUCAUUUUUAUUUCGAUCAUCAACCAAACAUGCGCUAAAUGCCUUUCCUCUACCUUUGACGAUUUUGACGUUAAUAAGAUAACGGUCUGUGAGCUGCUGCCGUGGAGAAAUUUUUUCCUGCACCGGGUGUAUAUGCAACAUUAUAUUUGAUAAGAUUAACUUUCUAAAUUCAAUUUUGUCUUCGCUCGAUUUCUACUCCUUCGUACGGCAAACGCAUCAAACAUCGUCUGGGGCGACGACGUCCAAGGUCUUUGGAGCUUAACAUCUCAAAUCUCCGAACGCCAGAAAAAAAUCGAAAGGUCUAACUAUGCUCGCGGCUACUUGGCGGGUCGUUUGGACUGAAUGGAACUGCAUUAUUUUUCAGUCGAAUCUACCCAACGCCAUUAGAGCCUUUGAUCGUGUCGUAAGUCUAUCCAACUCCUGGAUAGAAUUACUGUAACUUGAAUUCUUCUCCCUUUCCUCUCUCCCCCUACUUCUUCCCCAUCCUUCGUUUUCUUUUCGGUUUUCACUUUUCUUUUUUCUUUUUGCGUUCUACUUUCUUUUCACCUAUUGGGUUUUGCUUUUUUUUUCGGUUCCUGUUUUCUCUAGGAAGCUUUAGCUGUUUUCAUUCUGUACGUUUAAUUCAUUUUUCUUAAUGAAUGAAGCAGGUAACGCGCUCUUUUUUAAAAAAAGCUUUCUAAAUUCAAAACCCUAUACAAAAAUAUGAUCUAUAUGACUUUAGAUACUAAUGAACUAUACAGAAGAGUUGUUGACUAUCAAAAUUAUGCUCUUAUUGUCGAUUUAUUAACUGCAAGUAGAUCAAUGCUAGAAGAAUUAGUAAUGUAUUAAAAAAAAUUAUUCCAUCGCAAAUAGUAUAAAAAAUCAAUGGUAACGAAAGGGUUGCCAGUUGAUGCGUCCAAAGUCGAUGUCCAAAAUUUUUUAUUUUUGAUAUGUAAGACUUAAAACAAAUCAAACGAGCUCGAUUUUGAAUUUGAAUAUACACGUACAUAUAAUGUGAAGUUGCAAGGCAUAGCGCACGAAAUGUGUGCACAUGGUGUAGGCAAUAAUUUCUAGUUGCUGAUGGAGGUUUUGUGGGAAUUUCCUAAAGUCAAACAAUGACUUGGCUACUAAAAUAUUUUAAUAAAUUCUUUGUUAAAUUCUAAUUCAAAAUCAUCCUAAUUUUAAAAUUCUCCAGUUUAUAUCUUUUAAUGAAGGACAGGGUUGUCGCAUAUAUUCAAAUAACCCUAUCACAAAGAUCUUAAAUUAGAAUUUAAUUCAUUAGGUAUAUUUUAUAACGAUCAAAAAGGCCUAUUUAUUAAAUAUUGCAAAUUCAGACUCCUAUUUUUCAUGAAUUGAACAUUUUUUCUUUCUACACUUAAUUUUUUUAAAAAAUACCCAAUAGUUAGGUAAUAAUUUUCAGAACUAGGCUGGAAUACUAUCAAUAGCACCAAGCAAUUAGUGUUAUUAGAUUUUCGGUCUUUGAAUUGAGAAAUAUACGGCUAAGAUGAUGUGGGCUCCCUAGGGUUGAGUGGGUGGUUGGUUGAACUUGAAUAGUAUAAUCUAACAAGUAAAAAUAAUCAAAGGGGUUAAUCUAAUGGCAGGAAAUUUGAUAGCACCAAGUAUUUGGUAUUAUCGAUAGUAUAGCAGCUAGACUCUAAUUUUCAAGAUCUAUAAUAUUUUCUCCUUUCGAGAGACUGUUUGGAUGUCAAAAUAAGUUAUUCAAUAAAAUAACUUUUCUUUUAUGAUUACAAACUAAAAGUUUAAAUUUAGCUCCUUACAAGGUCUUAAUGGUCAGGAUUUAUUAAAAUAAGUAUAUUUCAUUUAUAAUGAACUUUAUCUUGCAGAAUAAAAAUAAUAUGGAGACUGAACAUAGUAUACUUUGCUACAUAUUUGAUCAUACCCUCAUCUACCGAAUAUUGCAAAUAAUAAUUUUAAAAUUCAGAUCACGAAAUAUUGAGUGCGGUGCAUGAGAUGUGUCCGGAUACACCAGGUGCAAUCAAUAUCUUAGAAAUCAACGUCCAAUUAAUUAAUGAUCCUUAGGAUGCUACAGCUGAAAUUUUCGUAGAAAAUCAACAUCCAAUUAAUUAAUGCGCUUUAGGAGAUGUUACAUCUAAACCUAACUGAGCUUUCCAAUCCCUAUCAACAAAGAAGAAACAUCUAAACUUGGGACGUACGGUAGGGCAUAGUAAUAGAUCUAAUUAUUAAAUGCACCAAAUUCCAGUUAGGGGCUGUUGGUUCCACAUAAAAUUGUAAAAAAAAAAGAAAAAAAAUCAGUGAAAAUAAAACUUUUGAGAGGAAAAUAAAUUUUACACUCGUCGGUGUUUAAUUUGUAGGGAAAAAUUCCAUCACAGCUGUUUGGGUGAAAGAAAAAAAUAAUAAAUAAAAAAAUAUUAUAUAUAUAUUUCUUUUAUUUUAUAUAUUAUAUAGUAUAUAUUAUUAAUAUAUAAUAAUUAUCAUAUUACAUAUAUUAGUAUUAUAGUUUAUAUUUAUAAAUAAAAUAAUAUUGAAAAUACAAUAAAUAUGUAAUAUAAUAAUAUAUAAUGAGUACUAUACUAUUUAUAGUAAGUACCGAAGCUCCGAUAUUUUAGUCUUAUUUUUUAUUUCAGAGUGCUCAAAUCAACGAUCCAUACUGAUAAAUAUGAUUUAAGAUAUACGAAGUUUUUAGAAAUAAAAUUUUAAUUUCUUUUCGAUAUCAUUUACUUAGUAAGUAAAUCAUGUAAAAAAUGAACGGUAAAAAUUGAACAAUUUUUAAAAUUUGAGAAUAGAAUUUUUGAAUUCAAGAUCAAGGAUGUUGUCCUUGAUUAGAUAGUUUAAAGUAUUUUAUAUUAAAAUUUGAAUAAAUUUUAAUUUUUUUACACCGUCAACUGUAAACUCGCCAUAGUGGCCUUAAAAUUUGAUAUUUUAAAAUCAUUUGAUUUAUAACUAAUUUAUAUAAAAUAUAUAAAUUUUAUUUGUAAAAUUUUUAAUCUAAAUCGUCUUUACUGUGUGAUCUUGAUUCGAACAUUUAAUUUGAACAAAUAUAUAUAGUUAUAAGAGUCUGCUUAUAUAAUAGUCUAGAUUUAAUGACUAUUAUAAAUUAAAAUUAGUAAUUUUAAAUUUAAAUUUAUAUAAUAGUAUAUUUUAUUAAAAUAAAAUAAUAUUAUAAUUAUAUACAUAUAAUAUUAUAUAUUAUAUAUUAUUAAUAGUAUUAUAUUAUAAAAUUAACUGGAUACUAUUAAUAGUAAACGUCUUUUUGAUAUCAGUUUGAACCUUGGAUAAAUUAUAGAGUCAGGAUGAUAUUAGUCGGUUAGAGUUGAGUGGUCCCCCUAGGGUUGAGUGGUCCCCACUGGGUUAUAGUAUUUAAUCCAAUGAUUAGAAAUAAUGAAAAGAGUUGAUCCAAAGGCUAAAAAACUGGUAGCAACAAUAGAAUUUUGCUACUAAUAGUAGCCCAGCCGAACUCUAUAUAUAUAUAUAUAUAUAUAUAUAUAUAUAAAAGAGGGGCAGAGAGAGAGAGGUCCACCGUGGAACACUCUCAUGCGGUCUACGAGGUGGUGUGGUCCUCGUGUUGCACCUCCCACUGCAGCGUUUUUUCAGCCUAAAUUUUCGUUUUAUGCUGGACGAGAGCGGAAAAUAAAAACUUCUCUUUUCCUUACAAUCUGUAAAAAAAAAUAUUUUUCAAGAAAAUUUUUUUUUGAGCAACUAAACAACGGAAUCUUACUUUUCAACCAAAAAAAAUUGUAGAAUAAUUUUACAAGGACUCAAACACACCCUAAGUUUCAAAACACUGACAGAGAAAAAUAGCCUUAGUUUACUCUAUUUUAUUGCAUAAAACUCGAUCCAGAUUCCAAGCAAGACGCUUAUUAGUGCCUCUUGAUGUUGAUAUACUUAGUCCACCAAAUCAAGUGUUUUUAAUAUUAAACUUUGGAAAAUUCUUUCAUGUAUCUUCAUUUCUAAUUGAUUAUUAUUAUUAUUUUUUUGCUUGUCAACUAUAAACCAGCUGGUUGAAGCAGCAAAAUAGAGUUCUAUAUGUUUAGGUAUUAUAUUUGUUUUUGAACUUCUAAAAUGUUCUAUGAUUUAGAUGAUUAUAUUUUCUUUUCUUUUCUUUUCUUUUCUUUUUCCUUUUUUCCUUUCCCCUCAAAUAUCAAUUUUAUCUAGCUGGAUGAAGCUGCACACUGUAGUCCACAUGCCAAGAAAUAUGUUCUUCCUGCAUUAAAUACCCCGGUCCUUAGUUUUUUUUUUUUUUUAUUUUCAGAUAACAUUCUAUGCAGCACAAAUGGCACACAAAAAAGUAAAUAUUAUUUACUUGUAUUUUUCUUUUGUUUCUUCUUAACUAUUAUCCAGCUGAAUGAUGCAGGUCACUCAGUCCACAAUGUUAAUGAAUAAUCCUUUCCGUAUUAUAUUCUCUAAUCUAGGGCUCUUGUUUUUUUUCUCCCCCUUGUUUUUCUCUAGCAUUUACAGGCUUAAUUUACAUUAAUUGCACAAGAAAGUUUUGGUUUGGUCAGAGUCCAUAACCUAUUCUAAUCUCUAAGCUUCCUCUCACAUCACAUUAUCUGAUAAGUUAUGCUUCUGCUGGUGACACUAACUUCUAACAUUUUGCAACUACAUGACAACAUAAAACUACAUACAGAUAUGGACAUACUGAUAGAAACAGCUAAAGGGUGUUAAAAACUCCGUAAGAACUUAUCAGAGCGCAUGUGUUCAGAGUCCAUACCAUUGAAUGCAUAAAAGAAAAAGAUUGUUACAAAAUACUGUAACAAAGUACUUAAUAGAUUUUACUUGCAACUUUUGCCUGCAAAAGAUCAUACAGCAUGACGAACGAUUUUCUAUUGACUGGGGAGGUGAGAACUACUUGGCCAAUUUUCCAUUCUAUCGGCAAGCCUUGAAAACUGUUGUGUGAAGCAAAUUUAGUAUGUGAACUCAAGGAAUAUUCACCCUAACAGGUGACUAUUGCAACUACAACUAGAUUCAUUGUUUUGCUGUUCGAAUGUCAGAUCUGAAAAGCAUUCAACAUAGUUAAACAAACCAGGAGUCAAAAGCAAAAUAUGAACCAGAGCAGCAGAUUAACAGAAAGGCACAGAAUUACAAGAAAUGAAUAAUACCUCGGCUUUUAUUAGCAGGCUUAAUUUUGAAUACAGCAACCAAAAAAUAAUCGGAGACAGCUCCAGGUCAAACAGCGAGAAAUUCCUUCACUUUACAUAAACGUAGGAUACUUCUCACCAGGUAGAAAUACGACCAUGAAUGAUAGCCAGGGACCGGAACAAACGCCGAUGCUGAGAAAAGCUCCCUUCAAAGAAUGCAUGAUUUGAUCCUAAGUAACCCUAAGUCGAGAAUAUCUAAUCCACCGCAGGGAGAAUCCUUCCCAAAUUUACAACUGGGAGAAAAAAAGAAGGAACAGAGCAAUGGCAAUCCAUGGUUCUGUACAUAUGAAACACUUGAACAGGCGAUCGUGUGCUUGUUCCUUGCUUUAGGAGUAACGCUACUACUAUGGCAGCGAUUCAGAAAAUGUAUUCAUCCUCGAGCUGCGGUUGGGUCCGCAUUAACGGGACCUGUGGCAUCCGAAAAUUGCCCACUUGCACCAUUUGCAACGGUAUUCCGGUCUCAGACUGGUGUAUCAUUUUCGCCGUUCUCUUUUCCUGUAGAUACCGAUGAAUCCACACCACAAGCAAAGCCAAGAGAAUCAAACCAAGAAACCCUCCAACUACCCCUCCGACAAUCUUCCACACCUUCGAAUGGCUCUUAUGGACAGGUGUAGUACCUGGUGCGGGUGCGGGUGCGGGUGCAGGUGGAGGAGGGAUUGCUGAAGAGUUGAUCACAACAGAAAAGUGGCCCUGACUAUUUGUCGAACAGGUGGCGGGCGCCUCCAACUCCCCUAUCUUUGCUGUGCCAUUUAUAUUGAACCACACACAUUUCGCGACAACUCCAUUGGGAACAGGACUUACAUCUGUGAAUUCAAUCAAAAUCGGCGAUUUUGAAGCCACGAUAUCCAAUUCGGGUAAGUGGGUGGCCGACAGAUUCGCCGCAUCAUAAGCAAGAAGGCCAAGCACCGGAGCCAAGUAGGUAUACCCAGGGAGUGGGUAGUAAAAGGAGGACCAGUUGCCGAGAUUUUGGUAAACAAGAACGAGCCUUUGGACGUACGGGCGGACCACAAUGCCGGUCGGAAUUGUGAACUCUUUAUAGUUUGCAAAUCCCCUCUUCUUCAAACUACCGUUUCUUAGCCUCAACGCCGCGAUCUUGAUGCCGGUGAGAUUGUUUGGGACCGUACCGUCGUAGAUGAUUCCAGUAUGAGGGUGGUGGAAUGAUCUAAAGGCGUAAUCUUGAAGAAGGGCAUCUAAAGAUCUCGCAGGGGAUUGUGCUUUACAUAGGUACGGUAACAAAACUCCAAUGAGCCAAAUUAAGAGCAUGAAUCGAAUAAUGAACUCCAUAAACUCCAAAAUUUCUUCACCAAAUUCACUUUACAGCUAUAAUCCAACUCUAAUUACAAAAAAGAAUUCAAAAUUUGAGGAAUCGAACUCAAAUCUCUGCAGCAUCGAUGUGAGAUCUUCGGAACGAGAAACAAGGCUAAAAACGCGAGCUGUUUCUGAUGUAGUACCUGCAUCAACCUCGACGAAAACCCUAAAAAGGAGCCGAGAUUCGAUCAGAGCAAACUUUUUGCAGUAAAUCCCCGAAUCUUCUCUAAACAAAUCACACUAUUCUCGGAGAAAAAUCGAAGAGUCAAAUAACAGCUUCACGAAUCCACCAAUGCCGACGUAUCCGAGCUCAAAUCGCGGAGCUGCGAAGCGGAGAAAACCCUCGAAAGCGACCGAAAUCGCGACCGAAUCGGAGGAAUCCACGCCGCCAGUAACACCACACGAUCAAAUCCCCGCGAAUCGAAUCCACCAAAUACGUUGGGUAAGAUCCCGAAGAUCGCAAUGGAGAUUGAUCGCGAUAGGGUUUUAAUGGCUUUAAAGGCUUUUAAAACCCUAAAAUCUUCUCCAAAACAGAGAACCAAAAAAAAACGAGUACGAGAGAGGAAGAGAGAGAGAGAGAGAGAGAGAGGGAAAAAGAUCACGAGAGGUUGCAGAAUAAAAACAGAGCGAUAUGCCACUGGGAGUUUAAAUUACCAAAAUACCCCUCACAGUUCUCGGAAGCGGGGCGAAAGCGUCGCCGUUACGCCUUAACGCCGUUACGCUUUCGCUUUCCGCAGAUUUCUUUUAGGAAAUUACCCCCUGAACAAGGUGCAUCCGUACGCUACAAACACCGAUCUUGAUUUUUUUUUUUUUUUAAGAGCAAUUGCUUAUAUACCCUGAAAAGUUUCCGAUUUUCUUAUUUAUCUCUCUUAAAAGGCUAAUAUUGAAAAUACUCUUCUUAUGUUCCAAGUUUUUGGAAUAUACCCCUGGAAUUAAGUUCCGUUAAUGAGCUACCGUUAUCUCUGAAAAAUUACCAUUUUGUCCAUUCCAAUAUAUCUUGUACCGUAACUAACUUUUUUUAUAUACCCUUUAUAUAGCAAAUACUUUUCUUAUUUGUCAUUCAAAUAUCAAUCAAUUAAUUAAUUAAGCACGUCGGGAGCGAGCAGAUGAACGGAUGAGAUCGAUCGCAGCUAAACCAACCUUGGUAGCUGUACGACAAAAAAACGGAUUCGGCAAUUAUUCGGAUACGUGAUUUAUACGGAUAUUAUACGUUCACCAAUUAAAAAUUCGGGAUCAAAUAUAAUUUUUAAAAAUUCGGUAUUAUACUAUAUAUAUUAUUAUUAUAAUAUUUAUAUAUAUAUUAAAUAUAUUUAAAAUUAUAAUAAACAUAUACUAAUAAUAUAUAAGAGUUAUAUAUUUAAAAAUAUUAAUAAAUAAUUACAAAUUUAUANAUAAACAUAUACUAAUAAUAUAUAUGAGUUAUAUAUUUAAAAAUAUUAAUAAAUAAUUACAAAUUUAUAAAUAAAAUAUUAUAUAAUAAUAUUUAUAUAUAAAAAUAAAAUAAUAUAUGAAUAAAUAUUUAUAAAUAAAAUUAUAUAUAUAUAUAAUGAGAGGGAGGUCUACCGUGGACCUACCUCUCAUCCGGCUCGAUCUGGUGCGCAUGGACGCGUCGAGCUCCAGCAACCGAGCGGCCGAGCGAGCCCGGUCGUCGGUGAGCCCGUCCGGAAUGGCCCGGAAGUGGACUUUCGAGUUCGGGCUCAGGCUUAGUUCCGGCCCCGGAAGUGAGUUCCCGCUGGGGCUGCAGAGGAGGCGGCGGUCCUCUUACUCCCUCGGGCGAGACGGGAUCGUCGCUGCGGCACUCUUGCUCUCAGCGCCGGCCAAGGCUGCGCUGGAGGAGGAGGACGACGACGAGAGCGGCGGAGGAGGAGGACGACGAGAGCGACGAGAGGGGUGGUGUUGGAGGUGGAGGUGUGGAAGGUGGUGGUGGUCUGGGAGGAGAUGAGGCGAGGUGGAGGCGGCAGAGCCGGCGAGGUGGAGGCGGAGUAGCCGGCGAUCAAGUUGGGAGACAAAGAGGAUAACUUAAAGGAUUAGCAUAAUAAGGUAGGGAUAAAAUAUGUAUUUUAUAUAGGUUUUAACUCUAGUAUACAUUUAACCCAUAUUUAAUUCGAGUUAAGCUAACAGGGAAUAACUGCGGGGAUAUUUUGGAAUAACGGUGGAACAUAUGAAGGGCAUUUUAGAAAAGAAGAAAAGAAAUAAGAGUAGAUCGGAUAUUUCCAGACGCAUGAGGGGUAUAUAGGCAAUUAUCUUUCUUUUUUUUUCUUUUUUUCUUUUUUUUAAGAUAGCACACUAUCUGCUCUAUUCAUUAGUAAGAUAAUCUUAGCUAUAUCGGUGAGACAACUUAGCCUCUAACAAAACCAAAAAGAUGAUAAAGAGAAAAUUAGACCUCUGACAAAAAUCUCAUUCAACGAAAAGUUUUUCACCGCCUUAUCAAACUUUUAACUCUUUCAACAACCAGCCUGGAGUUAGUGUAGCAUAGUUUAAGAAUUACAUUAUAUUUUUCCUACCAAACCGCCCACUAAUUUGCUGUUAGCAUACUCAACCUCUUAGCUACGACGGGGAGGAGGGCUUUUUUUGAAAGUCCGUCCAAAAUUAUUCAAACUUCGAGAGACAACACCAACCGUCUCGCCAGUCGCCACCAUAGAGCACAUAUUGUAAAUCUCUUAACCAUUAUUUUUGUUAAUUUUAUCAAUAUACACUGUCUGAAAAUUAUAUUACAAAAAAUUAUAAAAUUUUAAAAUCUAGCAUUGUAACCACCCCAAUCUUAUUCAUUUACAAAACGUUAAUAUUUAAAAUUUAUAAUUUUAUAUAUGUGGAUGGUUUUUUUUUUUUUUUUACGAUUAAACUAUUUGAGAUACGUAGAUGCUUUGAAUACGUGAAAAAUUUUGAAACGUAUAGCAAAGUAGAAUUUUACAGAUGCAGGGCACGAGAUGUACUUGUAUACACCAUAAUACGGACAAUGAUUCCCCUUCCACCGAGGGGCUUUUAAUUAAUUCUUCGGCGUACUGCUCUGGAAACUUUUGGGGGUGUCAGAGGGCUUUUUGCAAAGUUCCGAGGAAUGUGCCAAGGUGACUUGAGCGCGUGAUCAGAUCCGUCCGAGUGGAAUCGAGCGGUCCAAAGGAAGCAGGAAAAAUGAAUUCUUUCGUGGCCCUUUUUUUUCACAUUUUUGUGGGGCCCACGUGUCCAGCUCACCAACAGCCGUCCAGGGGCAUUUAUGGACCACGGAAGUUUAGCUGGACAUGUCCUCCCCCCCUCCCCACAUGUGCACGAGAAAUUAUUCCGUGCACCCGGUCCGCCGUACACCGAACUCCUAAAUUAGCAGUUCAUAAUUGGUGUUAUUUAUAAUAUUUAAAAGGUCCGCUUGUCAAACAAACCAAAAAGUACAAAUUUUAAAAACUUACUUUCUCAUUAAUGGGAUUGUUAUAUUUGAAUUUUUGAACUCAGAGUAAUUUGUUAUGUAAAAGUUCCGUUGAAUAUAAUUGUUGAAUCGGUGAAGAGGUUUGAAUUUAUUUUUAAUAUCAUUUGAGAUUCGGAAGUAGAGAAAAAUUAAAAUAUAAACGCUACUUCAAACGCGCGGACUCGACGUGGCUUCUCACGUGCGAAAAAGCAUCCUAAACAAUUUGUAGAAUAAUUGAGUUUUUUUUAUCUCAAAUUGGGGUUGGAUUUCUCAUAUAUUUAUAGUACUUUGGUGGAAAUUUUGAGUAGGAAAAAAUAAUCAAUUUAAAAAAAUUGGGGAUAUGUCCAGCUCACCACUGUGACACAAAUUAAUUACUUCUGAUUUUAAUUUUAUUUUUAUUUUUGGAAAUGUUUAUAAAGCGGAGAAAUGUGGUCCGUUGGAUCUGCUGGCCCUGAAAAAUGACACUGGACCCCUCAGUGGUCCUGAUAAUUCAAUUAUUGUACACCGUUGGAUCAUUGAUGAUUAUUUUGUUUAUUGGUAUAAAAAAAAAAAGUAUAGAAUUUAUUUCAAUUAUUGUUCACUUUUGCUCUCACUAUUUAAUCUUUAAAAAUUCUAGUUUUAGUACAUAAUUUUUUUAUUUAUUUAAGCUGAAUCAGUUAAUAAUUCGUCAAGAGUAAAUUUAAAUAUAUAAUUUAUUUUUACAGGCUUAAUUAGUAUAUUUUAUAUAAUUCAUGAACUAUAAAUUUAUUAAAAUAGUUAAAUAGCUUAUAUUUCAUAUGCGAAGAACUAUCGAACCACUUAAAUCUAAUGAAUUUUAAGAUAGAAUACUAAAAUCAAAAUUUUAAAAUAUUGAAUGGUGAAAGCAAAAUAAUCUAGGUGUUGUUUGCAUCUUUAUUUUAACGUAGACCUACUAUUAAGUUAUGGAUUAUUUUUUUUAUAAAAAAAAGUAACACGUUAUCUACUUUGUUCAUAUUUUAAAAAUUAAUUCGGCUAAAAAAGUGAAGUUUUUAAAUUUAAAAUUUUAGAUACCAAUAAUUAGGUUUUAAUUCAACUGCACUAGAUAUGAUCGGUAAUGUCGGUAUAAUUUGUAGAUUAUCAAUUGAUGAGAUUUACUUGACGAGGAAGGAAAGGGACACUUGACAUAUAAUCAUGAGCUCAGCCUAUGAAAAAAUAAAACUUAUUGUGCACCUAUUGGGUGCUUAUUGGACGCAAUCCAUGUGUUACAACUUUUGGAUAUAGGUUGAUCACGCCGUCCUUAUCAAUAGCGAAAUGCAUUUAAUAAUAUAUAUAAUAUAUAAUAAAGAGUAAAUUUUUAAUAUUGUGAACUUCGACAUAACAUUAUAACUGGAAUAUAUAAAUUUUUUAUUUUAGGCUUCGUUUAGGAUUACGGAAAGAUUGCGUUACGUACGAUAAUAAAGUAUGUUGAAAAAAUACCCUGUUUAUUUUCGUACGUAAUAUUGUGUUCUGCAUAUUGCGAUGAGUCUGUUACGAUAUAUUUUCUGCAGUUCCAUCGGAGAACGUAGAAAUAUAUCCCUAUGUGCUUUUAUUCAAAAUUUAUUUUAUGUAAUAGCGUUAGACGGGUCUCAGUAGUCAGAAAAAAAUUAGAUAUUUUAUUAAAUUUAUUGAUAAUUUUAUAAAAAAUAAUAAUUUUAAUUAUUUUUUAGUAAAUAAAAUAAAAGUAAAAAUAGUUAACGAUUAAUGACCAAUAAACGCACACAUUUUAACAGAAAUAAUUUGGUAAAAACGUGAAAAGUUUACUUAAACUAUAGACUAUUUGAUUGGACUAUCUGAUCUUUUAAUAUUUUGAUUUUAAUACCCUAUUUUUCAAUUUAAGUAAUUCAAUAACUUUUUCAAAUAUAAAAUCUAAACUAAUUAUUUAUUUUAAUAAAUUCAUAAUUACAUAAUAUAUAUUAAGUAAACUCAUAAAGAUAAAUGACGAGUUUAAAGUUUGAAGUUAAAUGGAUACUAAUUGGCUCAAAUCAAAUUAAUUAAAAGGCUGGAUAGUAAAAUUAAAAUUUUUAAAGGUCAAAUAGUCAGAUCGAAAUGGAUGAUAAUUGAGAUAAAUUUUAUAAUUUUUUCUAAACAAUUUAACAAAAGUACCUAAAUAAUUCAAUCUCAAAAAGUUAACAAUUGAGAGCACCUUUUUUUUUUUUUUUUUUUGAGAGAGAUAGAUAGAUAGCGUGCUAUCCGCUUCGUUUAUUCAAAAGGAAAGGAAAUUAACCUUUACCUCAAUUGAAAUUACUCCACAAUUCAUAUAAUAGCAUACAAUAAUAAUUGAUAAAAGUGUAUAAAANUAAAAUCCCCAAUUUGACAGACUAAAAUAACUUUUUUUUCUUUUUUUUUUUUUGAGAGAUAGGUAGCACGCUACCCGCUUCGUUUAUUUUAUUUAGAAAUAAACUUAGCUGGAAAUGUGAAUCAACUAGGAUUCGAACUUGAAACCUCGGAUACCAACCAGCAAACUCUUUGCCACUUGCUCUAGGGAUGGUCGGUCCAAUUUGUUACUCUUGAACUUAAAAUUUUGAAUAUGUCAUUUCGUUUUACAGAUUUAGUUAGUAUAUUUUAUACAAUUCACAUAACUAUAAAUUUAUUAAAAUAAUCAAUGAACUUAAAUUUUGUACCCGCAAAGUAAAAUUUAAAAUUUAAGCGAUUAGAUAGUUGAAUUAACAUAGUUGAUAAUACAGAUAAUUAAGUUCUAUACAUUUAUACUUUAUUAAUAAUGUGGGUAAAAUUCGGGGAAAAGAAGAAGAAAAAAAAAAAAAAAUCGGGGCCAUGUGGAUUGCAUUUGGGUAAGAUUUGGAGAUGAGGCCUCUCAGCGGCGUUUAAUGAUUGGACGGUGGAGGAUCAUCAUACCGUAUAAUUUCUUAAUCUCCUAUAACCAAGAAUGGACGGUGGAGAUAACGUAAAGGCCCCGCGAAUUAACGUGGUGGACUCAGCUGUUUCGCUGUCGCCACGUGGCGGAUUGCUGGCCGCGUGAUCUGUGGUGGGGCCCGCGUCCGAGCUGGAUUUCACAGUGGCCUCCAAAAGUGUACGCCGACAUCGACCGUACAGUGGAUUGUUUCUUGGAUUUUUACGCCACGUGUCUACCUGCUAUUGGUGGAAUAGUUGCGGGCGCACGGAAAUGUCUGGUCGCAAGGUUCCACACUCAUAAUGUUAUCGCUCAAUUUUUCAUUUUGGUACAUUACUUUUUUUUAAAUUAUAUUAUAUUAUUAAGGUAGAAAUGUAUAGGACUUGUCUAAAUUAUAAAUCAUUUUGAGUCAUCUUAUAGGAUAUUUCAAAAUAUUGAUUUUAGGAUAAAUUACAAAAAUUUUUUUUGUUAAUACCCGUUUUUAUAUUUUUCCUCCUAUCAUUCAAAAACCUAUACUUUACCCCCCUAAAAAAUAAAAAAUAUUUACUUCAGCCCCGCCGUCAGUGUUCUGUUUAUAUCAUAUUUUUAAUAUCUAGAAUAUUCCUAAAACCCUCUUCUUCCUCCUUCCUCACCGACAUCCUCGAGCACACUGCCUCGCCCUACUCCGCCGUCUCACCCUCGCCUUCGCGCUCGUGCACUCCUCCGUCCGCUCCCAGACACAUGCACUCGCCCUCCUCCACCGCCUCAUCCUCACCCUUGCCCACCUCUCCCCCUAUACUCACCACGAUCUCCUCCCUACAGUCGUCGAAAUAGAGGGACGGCGAGGGUGCUAGAGGAGCAGGAGAACAAGUAGAGGAGACUGAGUCGGAGCUGGGGUAAGGGAGGCACGGGCGAGGGUGCGGGAUGAACAGGAUUGGGGAGAAGAUGAAGAAGAUGAAAGCAAUUUGAUCAUUUUAUCACAUCGUACCCUCUUGUGAAUAUAGUUUUUAUUUUUUAAGAGGGCAAAUUAUAAAUUUUUGAAUGACAGGAAAAAAAUGAAAAAAUGGAUAUUAACAUGGGAGUUUUCUAUAAUUUAUCCUUGAUUUUAUUAUCUAACAUUUCGAUCUGUUUGAUUUGAGUCAGUCAAUAAUAUUUUGACUUUAAAAUUUAAACUUGUUACUUAUUUUAAUAAAUUUAUUGUUGUGAGAAUUGUAUAAAACAUAUUAAUUAAAUUUUGAAAGAUAAAUAAGGGGUACAAAUGUUAAAGUCAAAAUGCCAUUUUGACUUAAAUCAAAGAAAUUGAAAGAUUAAAUAAUACAAUCAAAAUUUUGAAAUGUUAAAUAGCCAACUUAAAAUAUAUCAUAAUUCAAAUAAAUUCUGUACUUUUUUAUCUAUUAUUAAUUUUUAGAGUUAAUUUGCAUCUUCCUUUUACUUUGAUAUCUAUUAUUAAUUUUUAGAGUUAAUUUGUACCUUCCUUUUACUUUAAUAGCUAAUCUCUUCUCUUAUAUGGACAAAAAUUUCGUGGACAUCCGUGCCCAAACUAUUUGUUUGGGCACGGUGUGCGGCGCCCAUCACCACCGCCCUUUCCCCUUUCUCUCUUUCUUUCUAAAAAACGGAGGCCCCCGAUAUAUAUAUAUUUUUUUUUUUCGGACGAUCGCGAUGGGCGCUGCACACCACGCGGCGCCCAUCUGCAUCCGUGCCCAAACAAAUAGUUUGGGCAUGGAUGUACACGAAAUUUUUGUCCCUCUUAUAUGUAGGGGUGGAAACGAGCCGAGCUCGAGCGAGCUUAUGUCAGCUCAAAUUCGGCUUGAAAUUAAUUUCGAGCCUAAAUCUAGGCUCAAGCUCGGCUUAAAAUUAAUUCGGCGGCAUCGAGCGAGCCUAUUUCGAGUCGAGCGAGCUCGGAGCCUCUAAAACGAGCUCAUUGAAAUUCUCGACAUUAUAUAAAUAAUAGUUUAAUUUUUAUAGAAACAAAUUACUCUACAAUUUGAUGCAACAUGUCCAAUAGUUAAAUACAAAUAAUUAUAAGAAUGUGAGCUAGGGUACUUUGACUAGAUGAGGGGUUGAGAGAGAGAGAGAGAGAGUAGAGGAAAAAGUAGAGAUUUGAAAUUUGAAUGUUAUCAUGUUUUAGGGUUAUGUGCAAGUAAAAGUCUGAAAGAGAGAGUGUGUUAUGUAAUUUAGAGUUGGGCUCAAUUGCGGUUGUACUUGUUGGGUUUAUUUUAUGGGCAACAAUAAUGCCAAAUUAAAUUAAAAUAUUAAAUUAAAUUUAUAUAUAUAUAUAUAUAUAUAUAUAUAUAUUUAUAUAUAUAUUAUAAUAUAUAAUAUAUAUAUAUAUAUAUAUAUAUAUUAUAUAUAUUCGAGCUUUUUCGAGCUUUUCGAGCCUAAAUUCGACGAGCCGAGUAAUACUCAGCUCGGCUUGAAAUGCAUUUCGAGCUUUUAUUUUGUUCAAGCUCGCUCAUUUAAUUUCGAGUCGAGCUCGAGCGAGCCAAAUAUCGAGCCGAACACGAGUCGACGCGAGCGGCUCGCUCGUUUGCCAGCCCUAUUAUAUGAGCGUCAUCACGUCAAACUAAAUCUUUUUCAUCUUUAGUACCGUCCUCUAUCCCUACCACCGCCUCAAUCUCACACACGACAUCGACUAUUUCCUCAGAGCGUGCAGCAUCUUGGUAUCAAAUUGACGUACACUAAAGUUAUAUUAUUAAAGUUGAAAAGCAAAUAUCUAAUUGACUGACAAAUAUCCGACUAUUACAUAGUAACAUGUGAGUGAAUAAAAUUUUAUUGAGUUCGCAUAACCUAUUCUGUCAAAUUAACAAAAAUUUUGGUACGAUAUUUCGAGUCUAACUGCAAUAAAAUAUAAAAGUAGAGUCCUUACUACAAAAAAAAAAAAAAGAAAAAAAAGAAGGUAAGGAACCAAAGUAAAAUAAUGGGUAAAGGUGAGGGAGCAAUUAACACCCUUUUCGUAGUAAACAGUGAGCAUAGAUCAUGCUCAUUUUUGGGAGAGUAUCCCUAUCAACGUACGUAUAUAGUUUAGAAAUAAAUAAAAAUAAAUAAAUUAUGUGAUUCAAGGAUGAAUAUAGUUUAAAAGGCAAAUGGAAUUUAUAGCAUAGUCACAAAUUUCAUAUUCAGGUCAAAUUCGACAAGGUAAGCAAACUCAAAUUUCGCAAAAAUUUGACAAAUUAGAAAAAGAAUCGGCAAUAAUUCAGUUAAUAAACUUUAAAUAUAUAGCAAUGUAAAUAAACAAAAUGUGGAAUUCUUGUUCGAAUAUCAUAUCAUUCACAAUAUUUAAGAUAACAAAAGUCAAAAACAUAAUUAAUAAAUGAUUUGUAUAAAACAUUUGAAUUAGUUGAUUACGUUAGCCAUUGCUUUCUAUGACUUUCUAUGUAUAUUUUAUAGUGAAUAAUUCACAGAUAUAAUUGGGCAAUAAAAAAUUUGUAUUUUUGCAAAUGUUUGAAAAAGUAAAUAAUAUUGUGGCCAAGAGAUGAUAUUAGUAGUGAAUAAUUCCUUUUUUUCUGGUAAAAAUGUAUCAAACUUGGAUGGCCCAUUUUGAUCUACCUACCAACUUCAAAUUUUGAAUUCACCAUUUAUUUUUUUUGGAUCUAAUUAUUGUAUUUCAUAUAAUUUAUGCAACUAUUAUUCCAGUAAAGUAAAUAAGGAGCCUAAAAUUUGUACUGGAAAAGCCAUUAAAUAACUUAUAACAGAUAAACUGAAAGAUUGGGUUACCAAAAUCAAACUUUCCAAAGGUUAGGGAGCUAAAUUAAAAUGGACCGUAGUUCAGGUGAAUUCUAAGAGAAAGCCUCUAAUUGGGCUUGAAAGAAGAGCAGAACUAAGUUUAGACAGCUUUAACUUCUUCAGCAGAUAUUAACAGCUUUAUGCACUCCAUAACCCACUUCCAAGUCUUACAAGUUACAACCAAUGUCAACCAUCCUUACAUUGAAAAAAGAAUAAAAAUUGCACGAAAAACAGUGAAAAACCUGUAUGAUUAUCAUGAGUAUGUAUAAAAAAUGAGCGGAUAACUUACAAACAGUAAGAUCAAGAAUGCACACAAUUUUACAUACAACAAAACAAAGCCAAUCACACAAUCUCAUUGCGGGGCCGGAGAGCCUGUCUCCAUGGACAGAGUCUGUGAGAGAUGCUCAUGCGGAGAUUUAGGGCUCGAGGAGCCAACCAGUGCUGCUGAGGGAGAGCGCGGACUAGAUAGAGCGGGAGAGGGCACUUCAUUCUGUGAAUGAGAUUGCGAUAAGGGUAGCAUCUCAUCUGCGUAGACAUCAGCAGCAUCUUCUUCAAUGCCGUCGUCCAAGUCGACGCCAUCUCCCAUACUUGUGAGCUGAUGGAAUUCCACAAUUUCUCGAAGGAAACGGUUUUCUCGGGCAUAUAUGGAGUUCUCAUGCGCCAACCUUGCCUUUUCGGCUAACAGUGACUCCAACUGAAGGCGUAUCUGUUUAGAGAGGGGGAAAGAUAUAUCAAUUAUAUUAUUAACAAAGAGAUCAAAUUACAUGGAAACAGAUCACAUCUUUAGACUUCCAUAGUUGUCCUCGACCUCUCUCUCCCCCGCCGCCCCACCCCCCCCGGGAGACUAUUCAAAUGCCUAAUGAACUUCCGAGGUUGCAGCAUUCUGCUUGAGCUUAAAUUACAACGAACAACAUAGCAGUUGAUCAUAUUGGUGCCGGUACAAGAACCACUCCGAGCGCGUCUCUUUUAUCUGGUUUUGUUUUGAUAAAAAAUUUGGCACCACUAUUAGAAUGGUGUCAAGUUAACAAACAAUCAUAAAAACUUGUCAAUUUGUUGUUUAGAGCUUUCUAAUCUUUGAGUUCUGUUCUGGGCAACUAAUAAUAGAUUGGAGCAGUCCCAUAUAACAAUUAAGAUUAUAAUUAGAUAAUGAUGAUGUAACGAAACCAACAAAAGCAAUAAUAUUAACACCGGCAACAGUAAUAAUCAUAAAUAAAAGAUCCAACGGGAGCUAGCAUACCAAGUCAUCAUCUUCAUUGUGAUCUCCUUUUUCACGACUCUCGCGCAAUAUUUUGUUCUCCUCUUCCAGCUGAGCGCAUCGUUCUUUUGCAAAAGCUAGGUCUGCUUUGACAGCUUUUAGUUCACGCAGUAAAAGUUUUGCUUUAGCAGCCAUUGCAUUUGCAACCUGCAAUAACACAUACAGAAGAGGCUAUUCUCCAUUCACAAAAGGAAAAAAAAAAAACCAAAGAGGUAGAGAAGCACUCUUUUGGUAGAAUAAGGCUACGAACUUUUGAAACCAAACAUACCGUUAUAGAAUCUUAAGCAGCUAAGUGAAAAAGGCAAGUCUGUAAAACAAAAGAGAAAGCUCACAAAACAACUAGUGUAGACCACUAUCUCUUAGAAGUUAAUUACAUGACCCCGAGGAAUAUACAUCAUUUUUCUAACAGCAAGAAUUUGUAAGCAUGUUGUUGAAAAGGUAAUUUUCAUAGAAAAGAAUGCAGAAUGCAGUUCUUCAGAUUUUUUUGGAAUUCGGACAUUUUGGGUUAAUAAAAAGUUACUUUAUUUUUAAAAAGGUUUAACACGUCAUACUUAACUUUAAGCAGUGGAGCAUAUGCAACUUUAAUGUGUGAAGCACUCAAGCAGAUUCUAAUCUCUCCUGAUUAAAUUUUGGAUCAAAAACCAAUCUAUAAAAACAGAACAAUAUAUUCAAAGACUAGUUUCUAUAUAAUCCAGCGACACAGGGUUGCCACCUUACGUUGCGAGAAGCUUUAAGUUGGGUUUCCUGAUUGGUUUCACUCUGGGAGAGAUUUGCUGGUCCCAAUACAUCUUUAAACUGAUUCUGUAAAUUGGAACUGCUAUCCUUUCUUCUAAUUUGCAGCUUCUUUGUUUCAUGGAUGAUGUCAACUGUUUUAUUCUCGAUGAUUGUUCGACUCUCCUGAGAGAAAUGAGCAAAGAAAGAUUACUUAAAGUACGAACAAACAAUAGAUAUUAAAGCCUAAAUUUAAAAGCAUAAUGAAGAGGGAAGAAGAUAGGAGAAUAAUGAAACAACUCAAAAAGCUCUGAUGAACUUACUUCCAAAGCAUUUCUGAGUUUUCCGCCAAUGUAGUUGACUGAAGAAGCAAUCGCUUCUGAACCUUUCUGAAAUGAAGGAUUUUCUGGCUUCAGAUAAUUUUCCGCUGCCCAACGAGACUGCGGCCAGAAAGAUUGAAGUGACAAAUGAAAAAACCAAUAUCAAUUGCAUUACACAGUAAGAAUGCAAGAUAAGAACCAAAUGAAUAGACAAAAUGAAGCAAUUAAAAACAUCCAAGGCCUACUAUUAUGACUUUAAAGGGUUAACUGGCAGAUGCAAAGGGAUCUAUGAAGCAUACAAUAGAACGUUCUAGACUACAGAAUAAUAGCUUAAAAAGAAGUGGGUUUCCAUAAAUAGGCCUUCACCCUAGAAACUGGAAGAAAACUUCAAAUCCACUAUUAGCUUCUAAAAGAAAAUCGUUAUUUAAAUUGUUUGAGGAAAAAAAAGAAAAGAAACUUCAGUUGUGUCUCACCUUGGUACCUGUUGAUGAGUCUAACUUCGGAGGCUGCACUCUACCGUAGUCAUCAGAUUUAUUGGAAGCACCAUCCUCAAUAAUUGAUUUCGCUUUUCUUGCCAAGUCCCCCCAGAACCCAUGCUUACGCUCAUUCAAGCUUUUCAUCGACGUGUACUCAUAAUUACUGGCAUCCUGCAUUUGUAAACACAUGGAGAAAUGAUAGCGUGCGAACUCAGCCAAAUAAUUUUCAAAAUGCAAGAUAAGUGGAACAAUCAGGCGACAUGUAGACAUGCAUCUUCACAACCAUUUCGAUAGCUUUCUUAGUGGAAAGCAUCUAAUCAGGCAUGCUUAGGUAUCUUAGAUGAUAAAUAUCCUUAAAACUCUGAUUUGAGAUUCAUGUAAAUUCAAACUAAAGCGCUUUACAUAACUGAAUUGCAGUACACAUUUAGAAGGUCCAUUUCAUAGAAGUUGUAAAAGAUACGCAGAGAAAUUAUGCUACGAUAGAAUCCUCGCUCUCUGUGAUCAUCAGAUUCAUAAUGAAUGCAUUAAUAAUAAUAAAAAACCAGACACAGCUUGUUCUUCUAGCGAACCAAUUAACAAAUUGCUUUAACUCUCGACCAAAUCGAAACACCCCGCAUCAACAGGUAUCCACCGUGGUUUUCAAAAUUCCCAUUUAGGGCACUCUAAUCCCAAUUGCAAAUACCUAUCGAUACAGAUACGAAACCCUAAACAAGGAGGGGACACCGAUCAUCCCGAUCCGAUUAUUAAUACCGAUUGACACCGCUGUGAAACCCUAAACAAGGAGACACCGAACGAUGCCGAAUCCGAUCGAAAAGAGAGAGAGAAAGAGAGGCGAGGCGAUCGAUCGCACCUGCGAAUGCCUCGGCCGCGCGGGGGCGGCGGCAAGGGCAGAGUCGGCGUAGGCGGAGGAGAGGGAGGCGUCGCGGCGCGCGGCGGAGGAGCGGAUCGCCUGGGCGGCGAGCGACGGCGACGCCGGGGCGGCGACGGCGGCGGAGGAGUCGUCGGCGCCGGAGAAGGAGCGGCGGUCCUCGACGAAUGUGGCGGAGCGGGUGAUCCCUUGCUUGCGCCGAUACGCCAUGGGGGAGGAGGGACGGGGGAGAGAAGGGGGAAAGGGGUGUAACCGUUGGACUCGUUAGGGCUUCGCGGUUCAACUAACGAACCAAAUUGCCCUCUCUCCUUGUCCGUUAUUUGGGCCGUGGACGCCGCGGCGAAUUGUUGCGUGCACCGCGGUCUAUGGACCAGGCUCUCCAUUAAUUCAAAACCUGGUUGUCUCACAAAUCUAAAUAGACUCUGUUCGGAAUUGCAAAAAAAUGCAUUAUUUGUGAUGAUAAAGUGAGAAAAAAAAUAUAUAUAUAUUUUUUUGUUAAAGGACAUUACACUGCCUAAAUUUGUAUCUUCUAAGAAGGCUUACGAGAUAAGAGAUCUCAUCAGUAACUCAAAAAAAAGAAAAGGGAGAGCGUUCAAUGUAUUAUAUAUGAAUAGAAAAGUGAUUUAUAUUUGAAUUUAAAAAUAUUCUUAUCACUUUUUUUUUUUAUAAAUAUUUGCACAAAUUCACUUUUGCUUUCUUCGUCUUCUAAUGACAACAGUUACUAGUUCGACAUUUAAUUCAAAAUAAAAUCAAAAAUUUUUCCUACUAAAAGGAAUAAUCUUUUGCUACAGUUGAAAGCAAAAAUUAUAAAUAUCAGUUACAUAUAGUGCUUUUUGAAAAUAUUUUUAAAUCUUCUAUAAUAUUAUUUUUGUAUAUUGUUAAUGUGUUGGCAUAUAUAAUAUAUAGUCAUUUGAUUGAUUCAUAUGUAUACUUCGAAAAUAUCAUAUGAAUUAUCAUUAUAUUAAUAAUACAAAAGUAAUAUUAUGGGCGACCUAUAGCAAUACUCGAUACUUUUUUAAUUGUAUAAUAUCAUAUAAAAUAUGAUCGAAGAUGCCCUAAGCGACAAGAGUUUAAGUGUUCAGCGACACGAGGCAUGCUUACCAUCUUGUAUCGUGCCGAUGAAAUAUUGGCACAAUACAACUCUUGUGCCAAAUAGCAUGAUUCAAUAUUAUCUUUUCUUACAAAUAAAAAAUAAUUAUUCCAAUAAAAUAUAAAAAAUUUAAUAAAGAUAAAUAAUGGAAAAUUAAACAAUUUUAGUGCUAAAGGAAAAUAAAUAUUUUAUUUUAUACUAUGUUAACGCAUAGGUAUUUUUCUAACUUGCACAUAUCUGCACAGUAUAUCAUAGAACGUGUCGUAUCGUGUUAAUAAAUUCUCAGCAUUAUUUUGUGUCACUAUAUUUAAAUUCUUGCUAAAGCACUCUAAUAAAUUUGCGUUUGCUGUGGUCUAUACACCACGGUUGAUGCAACGGUUUCACUGGAGAUCGCCCAAGUGGGGGACCCAUCUCCACUGACCUUGUCCUUCGCUUUUGAUGCCAGGGACAGAUCAGAGCCGUUAGUUUACAUCAGUGCAUGAGUUGGAUCACGUCCACUAUGACAGCUGGACACGUGUCAAAUUGGGCCCCACUGGUCGGGCCCAAGAAUACUAAUUUCAGAUUAAGCUGGAAUUCGCCACACUUUUGCUUCUACUUUCAACAGUAAUUUUUGUCAGAAAAAAUAAAAUAAAAUUUUCGUUGCUUCGUAAAGCAGAAAUAAAAUAGUAGUCGGAGAUAUAAUAGUGCUCACAUUAUGCUUUAACAAAAGGGCUAAAUUAUAUUCUAUAAUUGAUCUCACAUAAAUCCGCGUAUGAAUUGUUUUAUAUUAGAUAAUUGAUAAGAGAGUGCAGCGUUAAUGAUAAGCUGUAGGAGCGUGGAAUAAUUCAUGGAUUUUAUGUUUUGUUUUUAUUUUUUAUUUUUUAGGAUGUGUUUCUUUAAUUCUUUUUCUUCUCUAAGGGGCUCUACUAUCUUAAUUUUGAUGCCCAACUCAUUUACUUUAUAAAUGAAAUAAUUAGGACGCUACAUUUUUCUCUCAAAAAAAAAAAAAAAAAAUUGAUGCACAUGCACGUACUGUUCUCUUAGUCCAAUCAGGCUGGGCCUAAGCUAAUAGAAGAUGGGCUUAAAGCCCAAAGAAGAAGAAGGGCCAACAACAUCAAAGUAAAAGGUCGAUCAUCUUUAGAUGUCAGAAUAAGUUAGACAGUGAUAGCAUUUUGAUAUAAGAAUUUUUUAUUACGAUUAAACUCAAUUGUAAAAGAACGUAAAAUAAAACUCUCGCUCGUGUCCAGACUCAGAGUCAUUUUAAUGGACUAAAGACGUGGAUGUUAUUUAAUAGGAGGAAAUUAAAUGAGACGAUAGGUUUGGUAGGAUUUAAACUCAUGAUUGGUAUCACCUGCGCUGAUACCAUGUAAAAUAUUAUGAAACAAUCUGUGUUGGAGAGGGAGAUGGGUAUGAACAAAAUUAGUAUUCAAUCACGAGAGUGGGUGAAAAUAUAUACAAAUAGAAAUUUAGCUGAUGAAUAAAAUUUUACCUAUUUAAAAUUUUAAUAAAAAAAUUAUUGAUUAAAUAGUCAAUAUAAAAUAUAGUAUCUUUAUUUUUUGAUUUAUAUUCACUUUAACUGAGAAUGAUUUUAUUGGUAUUAGUCCAUUCAGAUAAGUGAAAUGACUUUCCUAAUUUUACUAAAUCUAACAGUAAUUCAAUUAGUGAUAUAAUUUUUAAAUUUUAAGUAAAUAAAAUUAUACAUUACGUGCUGACGUAAAGUAUUAAUUGACAAUAUUUUUAAAUAUUAUUAUAUUAUAUGUAAUUAAAAAUAUAUCCAAAAUACAAAUUUUGAGCGAACUAAAUGUAUAUUUCUAAUUAAUUAUUGUAAUUUAAAAUAAAGAGAAACCCAGCGUCCGAUUCCUGACAAAUCGGGUCAAUUCACUGAUCAGAAUGGAUCAAAGCGAGUUUUAAAUCAAUUCGGUUGGCUAGAUCUAAAAGGGUUGAUUUUACCUGAAUAUUUGACUACAUCAGAUAAAAGUUGUACUGUAAAAUUCAACUAAUAAGUACAAUUUGGUACUCGAGUCCCAUGUUCGAAUCAUAAUUGAUUCAUAUCAUAUUUUCAGUUAAAUUUUUUUUUUUUUUAAAAAAAAUCAACUAAUAAAUGGCUGACAAGGGACGUGUCUUUGCAGUAAAGCUUAUUUCAUGUGCACAUGACAUUGAACGUACAACUAAUACCCGAGUUUACUAACUUCGCACCACUGACCAGGUUUAAUUUCUUCAAUGCUCUUUUCAAAAUUUCGAAUUUAAAAUCUCAAAUAUCAAUCGUUAAAUUUUUAACUAAUUAUAUUAGAUACAAUUAGUAAAUUAUAGUCAUGUUUUUAAAAUAAAUUUUUUACAAAUUAGUGUAGAAGCUGACAUGAUAUAUAUAAAUUUUUUAUUUAUAAAAACAAAAAAAAAUUAACAAUAUCAAAGGAGCUAGGCCUUAAAAUUGCUGUAAUUUAAUUCUUUAUAUAUGUAUAUAUAUAUCUUACUUAUUCAGAGGGAUAAAUUNAUAUAUCUUUCUUAUUCAGAGGGAUAAAUUAAACACAGCUAGCUAGCUGCGAUAAUGCAAGAAUAUUUUGAGGGCGAGCAUUUCGGGAAAGCUACUGGUGAUUCAGCAGGAGUGUUUCCAGAAGCCAAAGUGGAGGUUUCUUUGACCAGCCCCACCACCACCACUACCACCACCACCACACAAGAAGCAGAUCUGAGGUGGCUCUUUAAAUUUUCAGUGAAGUGAUUCCCAGGAAAGCCCAAAACUGAGGGUCUCUCUAACUGUUACUGCUACAGUAGAUCUGCUACAGUGAGCUCCUGCUGUACUCUCCCUCAUGGGACCUGCCCCUCCACUAACCUCCUGCUGUUCAUCAUUCAACCCCACCCUAUCCAAAGGCAUUGAAUACUGUGUACUAAUGCUACGCUUAUUUUUUGAAUGUACCAAGAAAAGUAUUUAAAUAACAUGGAGUUGAGCGGGAAUGCCAUCGAUAGCAAACGGAUUCUGUUGCUGUCUAUUUAUUUUUGAUGAUCCAGUCUGCAAAUCGACGAUCAGUACCGUUGAACAUGAUCCAUACCACUUAAAGUAUCUAGAAACCAAAUUUCGAAUCUUUUCGACAUCAUUGACCUAAUUAUUAAAGGAUUUCAAACAAUUUGAAUUUAAACAGUCAAUAUGAGAUGUUUUUCGUUUAACGACAUAAAAAUAUUCAAAUCAGCAAAAUUUUGGUUAGAAAAUUUUUGGAUAAAUUGCAUUGUUACCCCCUUAACUUUUGGUGAAGUUUCACUUUACCCCUCGAAUUUCUAAAAUGGACUUCUAACCUCCUAAAUUAUAAUAUUUCGUUCAUAUUACCCCUUUCGUCAGUUUUCCGUCAAGCUCCGUUAACCGGAAACUGACGGAAGGGGUAAAACGAAUGAAAUAUUAGAGUUUAAGGUGCUAGAUGUCUAUUUUAGGAGUCUGGGGGGUUAAGUGAAACUCGCCAAAAGUUCAGGGGGUAACAAUACAAUUUACCCAAAUUUUUACUAUAAAUUAUUUUUAUAUUUUUAUAUUAAAAAUUUCUAAUUGGCUGAAAUGAAGUACAAAAAUUUUAUUUAUGUGUAUUUUAUAGAACAAUACUUCUAAAGAUAAAAGAGACAAAUGAGUACUACAGAAAAUUAACUGAGAAUUAAAAUUUCUAUAUCCGAGUGAGGACACCUAUUGUAAAUCAACCAUAUUAGCGAGUACGUUGGGAUAGUAGAGUGUUUGAAUAUCGUAGGUAGUUAGUAUCACUCUUUUUUUAUCUUUAAGCCACUCUAAUUCAUUUCUUUCACUUUUAUUUUAUUACAAUAAAAUGUAGAAUAAAUUAUGGUAUGAUUUAUUUUAGGAUAAAAAAUAUAUAUAAAUUCAAAAUCAAGCAUGAUCACUAACUUGAGAAUUAGUAGUCAAUCCAUAAGAAACAUAUUAUAAUAAAAUAAUUUAUAGUCAAGAGUCCCUUACGGAGUAAAUUGCACUACUACCUCCUGAACUUUUGGCGAGUUUCACUUAACCCCCCAAACUCCUAAAAUAGACAUCUAACACACUAAACUUUAAUUUUUCAUUCGUUUUACCCCUUCCGUCAGUUUCCGGUUAACGGAGCUUGACGGAAAACUGACGGAAGGGGUAACAUGAACGAAAUAUUAGAGUUUAGGGAGUUAGAUGUCUAUUUUACGAGUUCGAGGGGUAAAGUGAAACUUCGCCAAAAGUUCAGGGGGUAACAAUGUAAUUUACCCGAAAAUUUUUUAACCUUUUUAAAAUAAGAUCUAUACUCUUGAUCUUGAUUACAAAACCCCUAUUAUCACUUUUUAAAGGAUAUUCAUUUUCAACUGUUUAUUUUUGUGUCUACUUGAUGGAUAAGAGAAUAAUAUUGGAAAAGCAUGAAAUUUGAUUUCUAGAUACUUCGAGCGGUAUAGAUCAUAUUCAACGAUGCCGAUCGUCGAUUUGAAGGUUCAAUCAUCGAAAAUAAAUGGGUGGUAACAAAAACCGUUUGCUACCGAUAGUAUUCUAGCUCAACACUAUAUAUAUAUAUAGAGCAGGGCUACUGUGCUAUUAGGAACACAGCAGCCCUUGUACUCCUAACUUUCUAACUACCCAUCAAGUUUGAUGGGUGGUUAGAAUGAGAGAGAGAGAGGAGAUAUUAAAGAGAAAUUCAAGGAGAAGAGAAACUGAGACACUCAAUUUCUCCCCAAUAUCUCCUCCCUCUCUUAUUCUAACCGCCCAUCAAACUUGAUGGGUGGUUAGAAAGUUAGGAGCACAAGGGGUACUGUGCUCCUAAUAGCACAGUAGCUCUACUCUAUAUAUAUAUAUAUAUAUAUAUAUAUAUAUAUUCCUAUUUUUAACAUUUUUAAGUUACUUGGGCUUGUGCUAUGAUCUUCUUGUUUUCAGUGUAUUAUACGGCGAAAAGUAAAAUUGCAUCAUGGGAGAAUGGCGGUUUGUUUAUUUUUUAAAAAAAAUAAAUUUAGCUGAAAAAUAUGAAGUAAUUAAAUUUAAAAUUUAAAAUUUUGAGUGCCAAUCAUAAUCUUUUAUCAUUUGCUUUAGGAAGUUAGAGUUGUUGCUCACAUUAUUUUGAGGAAGAGUUCAAUUUUCCUAGGUUAAUGCAACAUGCAUGCUAUUUCAUAAGAUUAGGACUUAUUUAUGUUUAUCUUUGGGUAUAAUACUGUUUGAUAAAAUAUUAUUUAAAUAGUAUUAUUAGAAUUUUAUCUAUUUGACAAUAUAUAAGUAUAUUUCCAAUAUUUUGUAACAGUGGCAAAAUUAAAAACACUGAAUUUGAGUUUCUGCGUUUGCAUUAAUUCCAAGAAGUAAAAAAAAAGAAAAUUUGAAUCUCUACAUCGUGGGGACCACAUAAUAUAUUGAAGAGAAAAUUUAAUUUUACGAUAAACUUUAGAUUAUUCAACUUAGAAAAAAAAUAAUAGCUAUUGAUUAUAGAAAUAAAUAAAAUAUAAAAUCAAUAUUAAUGAUAAUAAUAAAUAAUUAAAAAAUGCUUUGGAUACUCUCUAUUUUCACUGAUGAGUUAAUCAUGUAAUAUCACCUAGUUAAUUUGUGUGUUACAUAUCAAUAUGUCAGUACAUAUCUAUAACUUAUAAUAAUUUAUUUUGAUAUGUAAUAAUAAUUGAAACAACUUAAAGAUUAUAUGUGGAACAACAAAAUCUAAAAGGUUGAUUGAAACAAUAAUAAAAAUGUUAUCUCAAUUANUCUCUCUCUCUCUCUCUCUCUCUCUCUCUCUCUCUCUCUCUCUCUCUCUCUCUAUAUAUAUAUAUAUAUAUAUAUAUAUAUAUAUAUAUAUAUAUAUAAAAUUGAGUUAUGCUUCUAGAAGUAUCAAACUCUUGAUGUUUAUAAUUUUUUAGCCUUGAAUCUAUCAUUUUCAUUAUUAGAUCAAAAGUCACUAAUAGCGGUCGCUUGUGACACCCACCAUUGUGCGUUAUUUAAGAAACUCUAGAGUCGAUCCAAUGGCCAAUGAACUACAGUACCAACACAUUGAUUAUUCUCAAAGCAUCUUAAUAAAUAGUUAUAUAGUGCAUGUGCGAUGCAUGUUACAGUUAUUUUAUCGAGCGUAUUGAAUUUUUUGGAAAAAGAUAAAUUCAUCCUAUAUAUUUGUUAUUUCAAUUUAGAAAUUCGCUUUGUACAAAUAAUAUGGUUGAAUCUUUUGGGAUAAAAUAAUUCUAGGACUGCAUUAUUUUUAAAAUCAGCUUCUCUUCCUCUUUUUUUUUUUGGAUAUGAAUUGGUGGGAGGGAGAUUUGAGGGCGUUGCAAAUUUAUUUUCCAUUAAAAAUCGUACACCGGGUGUAGUAUAUAUUAUGAAGGGGUAGGGGUGUGGACCAGGGUGGACCGUCGGAAAGAGAAUAUUUCAUGAUCCCCUUUGCGGAUUCCGUCUAUGUUGAUUAAAUUUUAAAAUACUUAUUUAUAUAGAGAUGAGCUGGAAUGCUAUUAAUAGUAUUUAAAUUUUUUUACUAUUAAUUUUUUAGUCGUUAGAUUUAUAUUUUAAUUAAUUUCGCCAUUUAGAUCAUAGGAUUUAACCAACUGCCCACUCAACUUUAGAGGGAUCACCAUUAAAUCUUAGGAAACCACUAUCAUGCUAACUCUAUAAUUUUUCGUAAGUAAAAACUCAAUAGCAAAAUAGUCUAAACACUAUUAAUAAUAUUCCAGCCAAAUAAUUCCAUUUAUAUAUAUAUCUACAGAUAAUCUAGAAGUAUAUUACUUUUACUUUCUAGGCCCUUUGAUGUCUGACUAUUGGAUGAUUGGAUAGUAUAGACACAAGAACCCAAAAAAUAGAGAAAACUUUAAAAAACCCCCAUGUGGUUUCGUACUUUUUUAUUUUAGUAUUCUGUAGUUUAAAAUUUAUCAAGUUAGUAUCCUGUGGUUUCUCACUUUAUCACUUUAGUAUCCAGUGGUCUAAACUGUAUCAAGUUAGUAUCCUGUGAUUUUAUUUUUGUAUCAAGUCCAUAGGAUACUAAAGUGAUAAAGUGCGAAACCACUGGAUACUAAAGUGAUAAAGUGUGAAACCAUAUGGUACUAACUUGAUACACUUUAAACCAGCAGAUACUAAAGUGAUAAAGUGAAAAACCGCAGGGUACUAAUAUGAUACACUUUAAACUACAGGGUAUUAAACUGAAAAAAAAUGAAACCUCGGGAGGGUUUUUGAAGUUUUUCCUAAAAAAUAUAAGCAACUGCUUCUAAAAUUAUUCUAGCUCACUUAGGGUGAAAGUGGUUAGGAUAAAUUCCAAUCGGAUUUGAUAGGAUGCAAAUACACAUAUUCUUAUCUAAAUUUGCAUGAAAAAAAACAAGCGAACAUGGUUUCUAGAAAAUCUUACAGUUUUCAACUGUUUUCGCCCCUAAACAAUAAGAGAGAUAUAAAUAUAAAUAUAUAUAUAGUAUUAAUACUAUAUAUAAUAUAUGAAUUUUACUAUUUUUUGUUUGUUAAUUUUACUAUAAAUUUCACACUAAAAUUAUAUUUAUAUUUAUUAACAUAUUAAACUUUAUGUAUAAAAUAUAGGUACAUAAAAUUUGAAAACGAGUAUGAACCUUUAAUUGCAUUGUGUCUUAUCCGAACCAAUUUUAAUUUAUAUUUAUAUAUGUAUAUUAGUAAUACUGUAUAAUAUCUGAAUACAAAUCUAACUCACAAAGACGAAUGCAGAAAUUAAGAUUCGGGAAGGCCAAGAUUUAGAUGUGAUAGUAAAAAAAUCAACCUUGAAUAGUAAGAAAGAGAGUUUGUCGGAUUCGCUGGUCAUCUAUUGUUAGUAAUAGUAGUGACAAUAUGCUGAAGGAAGAAAAAAAUUAUGAGAACCUAGGGAAAGAACCAAGAGGUUCAAACAAAAAUUGAAUUUUUUUUUUAAAAAGAGUCGAUUUACCCCCUCCCUCGGUAAAACUAAAUUUUAUAAUGUUUUAAUUUUUUCUAUAAAAAAUUUAUAUGUAAUUUCUAGAAGUUGAGGGGGAUCAUGGUCACUGUGAACCUCACAAUGGCUCUGUCCUUGCCGAUUCAUAUCUAAAUUCAAAUAUAUUCUAAGCGGAUAUGGUAACGAAAAUUUAACAUUCAAUAUAUAUUUCGAUCUGAAUUCGCAUUUUCAAAGAAAUAUGAAUGCGAAUAUGAUUUUAUUACAAAUCUGACCAUUUUCACCCCUAAGUUCUCAGCCCUAGGCAUAGCCAAUAAAUUAGCUUCAUAAUUACUCAUGACAGUCUGCGAAUUACUUUCUGAGAGAUAAUUGGUUCUAAAAUAUUGAAAAAAAAACAUAGUUGGGACAGAAAGUUUAUGUCAUUGUGCUUCUCCUUUAAUUACUGCAUGCAGCUAGCCUAGUGGUUGCAAACUGCAAUCCACAGUAUGUAGUUUACAAAAUUAAAUAAGCACUAUAUAUAUAUUUCUUAUUUUUAUUCUAUCUAACGCAAUGCGUUCUUACCGUCUUAUCAAGUGUUAUUUGAAUAAUGCUUACAUUAAAAUCUUUCUUAAUAAAUUCUCUUUAACUCUUUUGAGUAUUAAAACUUCGUUUUUACUUUUUCGAUAUAGCAGAAAUCAAAAAGUAAAAAACUAGGCAAAAAUUGAUCAUAGUUUUGAAUUUUAGAACAAUUAACGUAUGGAGUUCACAAAAGCUGAGCCACUCAUGUAAACAUAUAAUUCAUCACUUGUAUUUGGAUAUCGGCAGCAACAACAUGACCCAAAAGAACCUGAGCAAACAAAAUAUUCAGCCACCAAUUUAUGUAUGAUUAUUUUAUUCGGUAUUUUUUUAUGAUUUAUUUGAAAAUUUUAUAUAUUUGAUAGAUAAGAAGUAGUAUGAUCAAAAUUUAGAAUAGGAUGUUUUAUUCGACAUUCAAACUAUUUUUUGAUAAAAUAAAUCACUUCAUAGAUGAGAUAUACUAUCACAUCAAAUCAUAGAUAUUAAAAUCUUUCAAGAGUAAAAGUUAAACUUCUUUCUUGCAAUCACAUUAUAAAAAUAAGUUAUUAUUGAAUAACUUGACACCACAAAUAUAACACGAGCAAAACACCAUUUAGUUCUCCUAAACACAGUUUGAAGUUUCUAUUACAAAUUAACAUCUAAUUAACUAAACAAUCGUCGAAGCUUUCUUAUGGAAGUACGAAACCGUCUCAGGCUCUUUCGGACAUUCGAAGCUUUUUGAAAUUGUGGUCCGAAUACUGUCGCUAGUUGCACCACUCGUUGAUUUCAAUUGUGCGCCUUUUUUUUCCUUCAUUAUUUCUUUCUUUUCCUCCUUUGUCCCCUCGGCUCUUUGUUACUCUAUCUUACUCUCCUAUUUUUAAUCCCUAUUUUUUUUCUCUCUCUCUCUCUCCAGUUGCUGCUGUGUUAUAUAAAGCUAGCUAAUUAAGUUUAUAUAUUUUUAUAAUAAUAAAGUGAGUAGGUAGCUCUCUUUUUCUCUUCGAUAAAAAAAAAAUAAAACGUCUAAUCUACAAAUAGGAGUUGCACCAUCACUCCAAGCGCAAAAGACAAAGAGAUUAAUAGACAGAAUUUGACAUCUCAAGUUCGAAAACUAGUUAUUUCAUAUUUUUAAGAUAAUUUUAUUUUUAUAUAAAAAUAAAUAAAUAAAACAGAUAGUAUAUUAUCUUUUCGUCAAAACACGAGCUUUGGGCGGAGGAGAAUCGCGGCACUUAGAUUUUGGGGUACCUUCUGCUGUGCCCGUAGCAGCACUAUUGAAAAGUUAAGGCAGUCAAAGUUUCACGGGCGCAUAUAGAGAGAGAGAGAGGGAGAGAGAGAGAGAGAGAGAGAGAAAAGGGGGAGGUGUGGGGGCAAGUGUGUGUGCAGCACCACCUACCUCUUCUUGAAGAAAUGUAUUGAAUUGAAUGCUCUUCUCCCCCACCUCCCUCGGAUCUCCAUGUUUGGAGGCACUCCCCCGACAGUUUUUCUGCUAGAUCUGCUGCAAAGAUUNUCUCUUUUUCUCUUCGAUAAAAAAAAAAUAAAACGUCUAAUCUACAAAUAGGAGUUGCACCAUCACUCCAAGCGCAAAAGACAAAGAGAUUAAUAGACAGAAUUUGACAUCUCAAGUUCGAAAACUAGUUAUUUUAUAUUUUUAGAUAAUUUUAAUUUUAUAUAAAAAUAAACAGAAUUUGACAUCUCAAGUUCGAAAAUUAGUUAUUUUAUAUUUUUAAGAUAAUUUUAGUUUUAUAUAAAAAUAAAUAAAUGAAACAAAUAGCAUAUUAUUUUUUGGUCGAAACACGAGCUUUGGGCGGAGGAGAAUCGCGGCACUUAGAGUUUGGGGUACCUUCUGCUGUGCCCGUAGCAGCACUAUUGAAAAGUUAAGGCAGUCAAAGUUUCACGGGCGCAUAGAGAGGGAGAGAGAGAGAGAGAGAGAGAGAGAGAGAGAGAGAGAGAGAGAGAGGGGGGAGGUGUGGGGGCAAGUGUGUGUGCAGCACCACCUACCUCUUCUUGAAGAAAUGUAUUGAAUUGAAUGCUCUUCUCCCCCACCUCCCUCGGAUCUCCAUGUUUGGAGGCACUCCCCCGACAGUUUUUCUGCUAGAUCUGCUGCAAAGAUUAGACUUCUCCCCUCUCUCUCUCUCUAACUCUCUAACUCUCUCUCUCUCUCUCUCUCUCUCUCUCUCUCUCUCUCUCUCUCUCUCUCUCUCUCUCUCUCUCUCUCUCUCUCUCUCUCUCUCUCUCUCUCUCUCUCUCUCUCUUUUUUUUUAACUCUCUCUCUCUAUCUCUCUCUCUCUCUCUCUCUCUCUCUCUCUCUCUGAGAGAAGUGGUUUUAGAUUUGGCACCUGCCACUUGGGUCGCUUUCUCUUCCUCUUCUCUCUCUCUCUAACUCCCGUGUAGCCACUUAAUAUUCAGAUGAUAACCACAAAGAACAGUUCCUUAUCUCUCAUCUCAGGUGGUUGAGUUAAAGAGGAAGAAGCACAUGAGAGGAACUUGUGGGUUUAUUAUGAGAAGGAUGUGCUCUAUAUAUAUAUAUAUAUAUAUAUAUAUAUAUAUAUAUAUAUAUAUAUAUAUAUAUAUAUAUAUAUAUAUAUAUAUAUAUAUAUAUAUAUAUAUAUAUAUAUAUAUAUAUAUAUAUAUAUAUAUAUAUAUAUAUAUAUAUAUAUAUAUAUAUAUAUAUAUAUAUAUAUAUAUAUAUAUAUAUAUAUAUAUAUAUAUAUAUAUAUAUAUAUAUAUAUAUAUAUAUAUAUAUAUAUAUAUAUAUAUAUAUAUAUAUAUAUAUAUAUAUAUAUAUAUAUAUAUAUAUAUAUAUAUAUAUAUAUAUAUAUAUAUAUAUAUAUAUAUAUAUAUAUAUAUAUAUAUAUAUAUAUAUAUAUAUAUAUAUAUAUAUAUAUAUAUAUAUAUAUAUAUAUAUCUACUAUUUAUUCUUUAUUUUUGGUAUUGUUUUAACCCCCCUCUUCUUUGCUCCCAUACCCGCAUGAUCAGUUAUGGGCUCAUGAGAGGUGCAAGUACAUGAACCUAUUUCCAUAUUUUUCUUUUGUCCUUAAUUCCUUUUCUUUUCUUUUCUUUUCUUUUCUUUUUUGGUUUUUUGAGAAAGAGAGGUUGAAAUUUUGUGAGGCUUCAUUUGGAUGGAGAGUAAAGGGGAGAAAAGAAUAGAAAGUUUGCUGAAAAUAAAAAGGAAUCGUUUUUUUUCUUAUUUGAAUGGAAAUCUGAAAAAAAAGAAGAAAAAAAAAAGAGAGGAAAAGAAUGAUCUUCCACAGCAGUCUAUUUUUUUUUCCCUCUCUCUAUAGAAGUAACAAAGAAUCAUAAUUUGUUUAUUUAUUUAUCUUAGGGACCAUAUAUACACAUUGCUUAUUAAUCACAUAAUAAAUAUCCUUGUACAUUUCUCAUUAGUACUGGCUAUUUUGGAAGGAUCCAUCUAUAUAUGGUGCACAAAUUUUUUUAUUUUUUUUUGCUAUUUGUUUUUUUCCUCUCUAUGUACAGCUUCCUAAGAUUGGUUCUAUUACUAGGGUUUUCAAGAGGUUUGGAAUUAAACAGGAAACCCAGUAACCAUUGUGGAGAUCAAAAGCUCAAUUCAAACUUCAGGAAUUUUCAGAGGUUUGUGUGUAUUUAAUUUCUAUAAAAGGUUAGGUUUUGUUUUUCUUUUAAUAUGCUCUUCUUCUCUCUUUUCUCAGUUCAUUCUCUUAUAUAUCUAAACAUGAUCUCAUGCCUUGCUUUUUCAUUAUUAAAACUGUUUUCUGAUUUUUAAUCAAGGUUCUGAAUCAUUUGUGCUUGGAAAUAAUCAUGUUUUCUUUCUGAGAUAUUAAUGUGGAAACCUACUUUUGUAAACCUUGACAAAUUGAUUCAGCAAUUAUUACUUGAUUUAGGAAAAACACUUUUUAGUUUAGAUGAUUACCCUUUUAGUUUAGAUUAUUUCUUUUCUGAUCUACUGAAAUGUUUAGGCUAGCUAUCAAGGAAAAGUAGAACGCAGUAGAGAUGCUUCUUUUAUAAUUAAUUUACUUUGGGUAGAUAUUAAUUAAUUGUUCUAACAAGGGCUAAAAUUAAACCUCAUUAUGAACAACUGUGACAAAUUGUUACAACAGUUGAACUUUGCAAUUAACUACUAUGUUGGUUUUUAAAUGUCUUUAUAAUUACUUCGAAAGGCAAUUUAGAAAGUUCGUGCCAGAAACUCGAAGAUAUAUUUGUCUUUGAUAGAUAAGUGGCUAGGAACUUUCUUUGAGUCCUCUUUUAUUGUACUUUUUCUAGAAAUUUACAAUAUAUAGUUUCUUUGACAAAUUAAAUUCUGGAUCUAUUGGUACUUUCAUGAAGUAUAACCUGUAUAUCUCUAUUUGUUUUCGGAUUAGAAAGUCUUAAUUCAAUGCAAGAUAGGAUCGACCAAGCGAAUUUGCAGUAAACUGCAAAAUCCUUAGCUUGUUAAUUUAUUUUUAGAGAACUAAUAUUGGUUUUACUCUUGAGAUUAUCUCCUUCACCAAUCAAUGUGGAUGAUUAAUUAGAUAUUUCUCCUUGUUGGAUAAUCCCAUCACUCACUUGGUCUCUCUCUCUCUCUCUCUCUCUCUCUCAGUACUGUGAUCAGCUUUUUGUAGCACUGUAUCAUAAUUCUUCUUAGCUAAAUUCCAGUUUACUUUUCUGUAAAUUAAUCUUGGUUUUUAUUAUAUUUGUUUUUAAUAUGACCAUAAACUGCUGUUUUUUUUAAUGGUUAAAUACAAAAACUUACUCUUUUGCAAUCAAAAUAGGAAAAUUUGUUUAACCACGGCCGACAACAAUUUCAUUAAUUCUCCCAAUAUAGAAGAUGAAAAUUAGUGUUUGGUUUGCAUUUAUUCCGUCCUUUAUUUUCCUUACAAAUAAGCUUAUUUAGGUACUUUAUAAUGGCUUCAGAAGAUCUAAUUGGAGGGUAUGAAAGAGCUUCCUUCAGUCCACUCAUGGAUGGUUGUGGGGUUUGAAUUCGCUGCCGACUCAUUCAAUCAAACACUCGGUAGAAACAACAAUUCAAGCACGCUCAGUAGAAUCAAUGGAAUUGAUCCUCUAUUGAAGGCACGCACAAAAGUGGAACCAGACCUCAGUUACUGAGUGAAUGAGUGAAUGAUGCGGGAGAUUAUUCUCUCCUUCUCAUUCCAUGCUUGGACUGAAGGGAGCUCCCUCUUUCUCUUCUGUUGGACCUUCUUCACUAUUUUUCCUUCUUUUGCUUGAUCAAUUACAUCAUCGGAUAACACAUCGCUCUCUUUUGCUUUUUUUCAAAUCCUAGUUGAUUUAUAUUUCUAGCUAAGUUUAUUUCUUUAAGAAAUAAACGAAGCGGGUAGCAUGUUAUCUUUCUCUCUCAAUAAAAAAAAAAGACAUCGCUCUUUUUUUAUUUCUUCACCGUUUUAAGUUAGUGGUUUUUUUUUUAUAAUUACAUCUCUUAUCUAUUGUUGCUUCUUUCGCUAGUUAAUUAAGAAACUUCAUAGGUGUUAUUACUAGAUGAGCCUUAUCUUAGUCUAGGUAGAAUAUGACAUAUCUGCCGGAACCGAUCACGUAUAUAAAAACACCUAAUUAAAUAGUUCCCCCAUUAAUUAAUUAGGUAGAUCUCAGAUAUUAUUUCCAUGUCGGUCGUCUUCGGUAUAAUUCACCAUAGACGAGGCAAAGGCAAGAAUAAAUUAAUUUGGCCCCAUUAGUAUAUAUCAAUGCUUCACAUUUUUUGUUAUUAUUUCAUGUGGAACUAAACUUAUUACGCGUAGGUAUACAGCUGACUCAUUUUAUAGAUGCGCAAUAGAUUCUUUAUUUAUUUCCAAUUAAUUUUCCUUCAUAAGUAUAUCGAGUUAUGUUCAUGAUCUAUUUGUUGAAUCAUCGGAUAAUUAAAACAAAUUGUCCGGUAAAACCAGCCGAAGUACAAAGUUCGCAAAGCGACGAACUCCAAGUACUUAGGUUUCUACAUGGCAGAUCUCGAAUAUUUUUCACUUGUCUUAUCAUUUAAUAUAUAAGGUAUUAUACAGUAGAUAAUGUGAGUGGAAUUCAUUCAACGCAAGUACUUCGGUUCGCUGAAUUUUUUUCUUAUAUAUCAUACAUAUAAAAUCCUUUAAAACCUGCAUUAUUUUCUACGUGGGAGCUAUUUUUUCACACGCACAUAAUCCAAUGAUAUUCAUCUUUGCAUAUCAAAUUUUAAUCAUGUUAUUAUUUAUUUUUCUUGUGCUCAACUAUAUGGCCAAGGAAUCAAAGUAGUGGAGCCUAACAUUUGGAGCUAAGCUAUGGAUCACUGUGCAUGUCUCAUAUCUAAGUUGGUGACAAACUUUGAGUUACCCGGGCCAUUGAACCUUGCAAUACUCCCAACUAGUUCAAAAUCAAUUAGCAUCAUUUGAUGUGAACAAAUCAUGGAACUUUUGGCUCUGAUACCAUUUCCGGGUCGAUGGAUGCGACACGUCGUUUCGAACCUAUCCAUUUCGAACCUAUCCAUCCGAAAAGCUUAAGCCUAUAGCUAGCUAGAUACAAUUAAUGCAAUUAGAUGCAUCAACCCUUAGGUGCAAAUUUUAGUUAUCUUCAACUAGUGGCUAGUGCACCCGCACCCACCCAGGAAUCCCGUAAAAGUUGAUGUUAUUUUAUUUGUGUUAAGGAUUUAACCCCUGCUAUAAUUGUGAUUCUAAUCUUUCUUUUGAUCACAAUGACUCCAACUGCGGCUUCUUGGAACUUGGAUUGGUUUUUAAAUAUGCAAUUCCUCUUUAUCUUCUGGUCAAAGCAUGCAGGGAAUACCAAUGAUGCACUCUUUAAUUUGAGUUGUUCAAACUCCCACUCAAACUGAUGUAGACACCCACUUCAUGCGUUUGUAUAUAUUUACCUGCAAAUGCACAAGUAUAUAUACACAUAUCAGAGAGAGAGAGAGAGAGAGAGAGAGAGAGAGAGAGAGAGAGAGAGAGAUACAUAGAUAGUUAUAAAUGAAAGCAUUUCACUUCGACAUUGUCUACAUAUAUAAUAAAAGCUUAUGCAAAAGCCUAUCUCUAGCUUGUGCUUUUUGGUCUGAAAAGCUUCAAGUAGAGCAGAUAUUACUGUUUACCAACAGUGAAAGUACAAAACUUUCAGGUUUAUUAUUUUUAUAUUAGUGACCUCAUGUGUUGUUUACUUGUUUGCAGUGUAAAGAUUUUUCUUUCUUUAAAAAAAGAUUUGGUGUACAAUAAUAUUAUUUUGGUACUUUCUCUAUGUAUCCCUUCAUUAAACACUGUUCCCUCUUCAGCAAUUCCCAGAAGGGUGUGAAGAAAACAUAAAGAGAGGGUUUAUUUUAUACUCUUUUUUUAUUUCCCUCAAGUAGCAUGUUAUUCUUAGAUUAUGUUGUGGAAGUACAAUUACAUCAGUAUUUAAUGUUUAUGCUGAGGUGUAUCUUCUGAAAAUGUGUAAUAUAUAAUUCCCAUUAAGUACUGUUUUGUCAGCAUAAUUAUUAUCUUUUUUUGUGCUUGUGUGUGUUUUUGGCGUACUCUUUGAAAUAGGUUCUAUUUCAAAUGGCAUUGAAGUACCCUUCAAAAACUUCAUUUUACUGGAGAUUUAAAGAUGGUAAGUUAGGGUAUGAGAUCUUCUAAAUAUGGAAAACUUGCUUGUGUAGGGCUUAAGUUUAUGUAGGCUCAGCUAUGUAAGGGAAUGGCCAAAUAUGGAAAGAGAUUAUAUAUAUAUAUAUAUUGAGACUAUAUAUUUGAAGAGAAGUAAUGUUAAUUUAUAUGCGUGUGUUAGUUCAUGUGGGUGCCGUAUAUAUACGGUGGCCUCUCAGAUGCCUGUGCAUUUUACUAACAAGUUGCGUUUUAAGUACUCUUUUAACUCUUUCGUUUUAUUGUUCAUUAGGAUUUAUUAGAGUUUCCCUACAAAGCAGCUUAAUUAAACAUCUCCUUUACAUCAAUUCAUGUAUUUAAAUCCUCGUUUCAUGUGUAAACGCCUCGCCUCAGAGUUUUUUUAACUUUGUUUUGCCUCUCUUUUAUAUAUCUUUCGCGAGCUACUGACAUGAUAUUGGUUACGUACGCUAUAUACAUAAUUUUUCAAUAUCUCUCAUUAAUUUUGUCCUACUUAUAUAGCUUUAUUGCCUGUGUUUCAAGAGCGUUUGGAUCGAUGUAAUUGCACUUGGACUAGCUGUUUUAAACCGUGAUUACGCAAUUUCUGUUGUUGAGCACAAUAAUAUUAAUGUUGAGAAAUUUUGCUAUACGUGAAAGUUUAAAGUCGUCUUUCAUAAACAGAUCCAAAAAAAAAAGCCUCUUGUUCUCAUGACUACCCUAAAAUUUGUAUAAAAUUUUAUUCAUAUGUACCAGUCUGGGCUAUGGAUAUAAUGAUUUAUCUGCGGUUUAUCCUAUCUGCCCGUUUGUCAGGUAUAUAUAUAUAUAUAUAUAUAUAUAUAUAUAUAUAUAUAUAUAUAUAUUGACAGAUACAACAUUGUGCUCUAUUACUGAGAAAGUUAACGCACUUUUUACAUUCUUCCAAAUAUUCAUUCAUAAGCCCGUAAAUAGGUCCAAAUCUUGCACUCCACUUAUCCUCGGAUUUAAAAAUUUUUUGUGGGUCUUUAGUAUUAAAACUAACUAACAAGAGUAGCGAGAGAAUAAUAGUCUCUAGGAUGAAUUGUGUGUAAAUUUUACCACUAUAAAUAUUUGUAUAUGUAGCAUUGCGCGUGCAAGCAUAAUGACAUGAUGAGACAUAAUUAGCUGAUGAUGGUAGAGUUUAUAAGGUUAUCCUCUUUGAAUGCACGACUUUUGUCGCAGCUCAUUUUUUUCCACAGUGGUUGUGGAAUGGUGAGCGUUGGGGACGUGAAUUUCAGAAUGGUUGGUUGAAGGUUUUCUGCGUAGCCGAGGCCGCGCUGCCGACGAUGUUCCUUGGGAAUGUUUGGUUGCCUGCUGUGAGCCGACCACCGGCGGUGGAACUCACUAUCACCUCCCCGCUUUCUAUGGUUCAGCGCAGCCUUCAGCGACCUUUUUCUUAUGUAUAUGGAUAAUGCUGUUAUAUAUUAUUAAUGUGUUACUAUAUAUACCUGAUAUAAAAAUUUUAGGAUAAAUUUUAAUAUAUCUCUUUAUCUUUAGUUCUAAUCUUACUUCUCUUGGCUGUAUAUAAGUAAUAAAGUGAUGUUUUACUUUAUUACUUUGCUGUAUUGUGGCUGCAAAAAAUAUCACAUUGCUAUCCAGUUUAACAAUAAAUUUUUAUUGUAAAAUAGAAAUAAAACUAUAGAAUAGUUAAAUAUUAUUUUUUGAAUCGUGAAAUGAUUAAGUAAAAAUGAGCUAAAUCAUGACGGCUCAAAUUAAAGUUUGUACAAAAUUUUAAUUAGUUUAUGUUCCAUCUUGUAUUUAAGUGGAUAGUUAAAUUAGUAAGAAUUAGAAGUGUGAUUAAUGGCUGCACCACACAAGAUAUAUCCAAACUAAUCUUAUUAUGCCAUAUAGAAUGAUAAAAAGUCAAACAGAAAAUAAUAUAAUAUUUAUUCGCAUAUCAAAUAACAGUGAUGGAAGAGACUUUUGCCCUUGAAUUGGCCCUUUCAUUUUCAAGGGUGAAAAAUACUAAUGACAAUUGCGCAAUCACUUGUUAGGGAAGUUACAAGAAUAUCCCCGAUUUUGUGCUUUCAAAGGAUAAGCGAAGCCAAAUAGCAAUCAUACAAAAUAAAAGACGCGAAUUUAUGUGGUUUACUUAUGCCUGCAUCAACAUAAAACGACAAGGAAAAAAAAAAUUGUAAAGACAACUUCCACUGUAAAAUGAAAGCAAAAGAAAGUUAUCAGCUCUCAACAAAACUAAUUUAAAGAAACUUGAGAUUCCACCUUGCCAGAAGAAGGGAAACACGAGUUUAGGAUUCUGUUCAAUUUUCACACAUACUCUAUUCUUUUCAUGCUUCCCUUCUAAGCACGCCAUACUUUAGCUCUCAAAAAAUAUGAACCCAAAGAAAGUAUGUUCUAAUAGCUAGACAACUGGGAAGAUCAAAUAUCGGAUACAACAAACCAAGGUUCAUGCAGUGGCAUGGAGUCGUGCCGAAACCUUGUCGGCAUGAUAUGGCACGGUAUGUGCUGGUAAAAAAAAAUAUACAUAUGUGCCGACACAUAAUAGCAUAAAAUAUUUAUUUUUUUUACUAACAAAAUAUUCUAAUUAUUUAUUAUAUAUUUUUAUCAAAUUUUCUUAACUUUAUUGAAAAAAUUACUUAUUAAUUUAAAAAAAGAAGAGUUUUAAAUUAUGUAAUCAACACGGGGCUGUAUCAUGUUGAUAUCUUGUUGACACGAUACGGCAUGGUAGAUACGGCCCGUGCCGAUAGGCACUAAAUCCUUGUGACAAACUUGGAAAGCGCAACUUACAAGCAAGACUUAAUACUUGUUCAUCAAAUUAAAAUAGAGGGAAAAGAACAAGCCCUUUUGGUUGAAAAGGAAAAGGAAAAUACUUAAUGUAAAUUCCCACCUCACUAAACUGUUUUUGGUUCAUUUAUAUGAACUUUUAAUCUUCUUAGAUGCGUGUAGUUGUCGACAAAGUGGCGGAACCAAUAACAGCAAUCUACCGGCGGGUCUCACUGUCAUAUUGUCUUGAGAGAACUUGGGGGCGGUUCGAGUGUACAUCAUUGUUGUAGACCCCAAAGAGUCCUCCCCGAAACCGCAUGCCUUGAAGAACAACCUAGAAGCAUCACAAUUUAUUAGAGUUUUUAAGGUGCAAAAAUAAAUAUAAAUUGCAGGCUAAUGUUGUACAAAACAAGGACAAAGUGGAAGCGUAUCAUAUUAUCAUAUCUGAAGCCAGGUUUUAUGGAGUACGUCUGCAAAUACCAACUUUGCAGUGGUAUUUCCAUAAUGUCGCAUAUUUGGUAUAUAUGCAAAAAAAAAAAAACGUAAAUUUUAGCUGCACAUAAGCAUGCAAUUGUUUCUAGUUGUUACAUUUACCCGAAAUACCAAUUUCAGCUUGAAACUAAUGAAACACCAAAGUAAGGACAUGAUAUAACAAAAUACCAUACGGCAACAUAGUACUUGCUUAGUUAAUCUCUCAUAUGAUUUAAUUUCUAGAAAAUAAACCAAAUCUAUGGAUCUCAAGACAGAAGUUACCAAACUCGAAGUUUAUUAGGGCAGACCAACAGCAGCAUUUAGUUCAUCAUUUCACAAUUUAUGAUUUAACACAAUUUAUCCUUUCACAGCUUACCAGCAGCAAAGGAACAUCAUAAUGGAUACACAACAAUCAUACUUACAUCCUUAAAUAUUGAUGUGUCAUUAGAUUUACUGCUAGAAGUGCAUGAAUAUGAAUUAAAACAAUUUUCAAGGACACCAUUCCGCCCCAAGAAAAGUAUAUUCAACCACGAAAACUAAUUUCCAACAACCCGACCUAACAUCCACACAGGAAGAAAAUAUAUUUCCACUCCCCUAACCAAAGGAGCUUGCUUCUUACGAAUAAGCUCACGCAACAAGAUAUAGUAUAUAGAAGGGUCAUACCUCUCCUUUUCUGUACACAAGGCCGAUAUGUCAUAUAUGCCUCUGCUAGUGAGUACCCUGGAAAAUUGUUUCAAAUAUAAAAAUCACAUUCAGGCUAGUCAAGUCAAACCGAAAUAAUGAUUCUCGCAAGUUGAACCUAAUGAAUGGUUUCAAAAAAAAGCUAUCUAACUUUGAAUUGGCAGCAAGAUAUACAGGGAUUUUCAAUAGCAGAAUUAUAACAGUUGCAAAAAAAACUUUUCCUUUCAGAAGAAAAUAUAGGUGUGUUUACCAAAAAACAAAAAGAGAGCAUACUUUUUUGUAUACCUGAUAAUUCUUUCAACUAUUUUUCGACCAAUACCGCUCCUUUGUAGUAGUGGAUUGACCUGAAAAUUACUGAAUGAAAUUCAUAUGAAUAUUUGCACAUACAUGACACUUUUAUAGCAGGAAAGCAACAAAAUUACAAAAAAAAAAAGAAAAGAAAAAGAAAAAGAAAACUACAUUUCUGCUCCUGUUUUAAGCAUUCAAGGUUUACCGGACAAUAGUUACGGAUUUCUACAGUCAAAUGUAUGCAUCAACAUGCAUUCCCAGCUAACAAAAUACAGCGGCACCUGUCCAAUUAAUGAACUUCAUAAUGCACAAGUAUGCAUCUCCGAGUUUUAAAAUAAAUCCAUGGAGGUGUGGAAAAACGUUGCAUUCUUAAAGCAUGUUACUGAAAAAAAUCAAGAAACUAAAAAAGAAGAGAAAAGAUAGGCAUGGAGAAAGUGUCAUGAAUUUGAAGUUCUGUAACUAUCACAAACUUUACUUUCUAUCUAUAAAUAAAAUGAAAUUUAAACAAAUAGAACAGGAUUCCGCAAAGAUUUAUCUUCUUGGCUGUAAGAUACAUCCAAACUCACUCAAAACAAGAUCUCUAUAUAAAUUUACGAAUUUAGUAAUAGCGCUGACCAUGCUCGAAAUGUAUUUAUCUAAUAAGUUCUAAGAGCAAGUGAUAAUUCCUUUUACUUCCAAAAUUAUGGACAAUAGUCUAUGUCACCACGACUCAAUAGCAUGCAAUAAAGAAUUUAGGAUUGGCUGUAAUAUAACAAAAAGAAAAUCUAAAAGAAAUCACCAAAAUAUGUAAAGUAAGCCGAAAAUAGCUUAAGCAGCAAAACUUGAAGAUAUUCCAUGAAAUCAAAAUGAACCGCAUACGUUGAAGAUUUUAAAUGUGCUUAGGAUUGUACCACGUGGAUAGAAAUUGCGAAAGGCCACUUGCAUCUAUCACUGAAAACUAAAGCUACUUACCGAUAUGCCUGGGCUGAUCAUCUUUUAUUACUUCUAUUUCUAAUCUUCUCUGAAUCUCAUAACACCAGACCCUAUUUGGUUAUGUGGCUAACAACAUGACUUAUCCUUUUAAACUGUAUCACAAAAACAGGACGAAUCGAAGAGCCCACACAAUACAAUUGGUCAAAGGGUUUACUCUUAAUGAACCUUAUUUUCAGAAGCACAACACAGCAUUCACAUUGUACGCACAAAGUUAAAGUAACCGCUUUAUCAAUUACUCUAAUUAGACAAUCGAACUACGCAAAUUUCAAAACUAACCAUCAAACUCCACCCACAGAAACUCCCUAGAAAUGAUCAAUUCCAUAAACCCUACUCAAAACUAGCAAAAUAUCCUCGCGAAAAACAGUAUAAAUUGGACAGAUUCAAAGAAAAACAUUACCACCACAUCAUGAAUCGAAGCGGUGAGGCCACCAUCCGAAACCGCCCUCCCGAACCCCACCAACCGGUGAUCGGACCCCGACACGGGGAGCGCCCUCUCGAAGAGCUCUUCAAAUCCUAACCCUAGCCCUGGACCAUCGCGCUCGUCGUCCCGGUCUAAGAAUUGGGCCCUGCAGAAGACGGAGACGACGACGAAGCUGUGGGCGAGGGCGCGGCGGAGCUUCCGCGCGUCGACGGGCUCGGCGCGGCCGCAGGGGCCGGCGAGGGGGAAGCGGUCGCAGGAGAGGUUGCAGGAGAGGAGGAGGUCGCGGAGCUGGAGGGGGUCGAGGUGGGAGGGGUUCGUGGAGAUGGUGAUCGGAGGGACUCUUCGUCUAGGGUUUCGAGAGUUCGAGUGAGGGGAGAAGGGGAAGGAGGAGGAGGAGGCGGAGAUCGUGGCCAUGGAGGCGGAGCUCGCCAUGGGCGAAGGAGAGGGAGGUUUUAUCUCUGGAUUUGUGCGCAAUGUGAAAUACAAAACGAAGAGAGAAAGGUCCCGGAGCACCACGUCACUUGUGGACGAUCUUUCUUCGUUCAUUUUAACAUGUAUUAAAUGAUGGUCUAUACAGAAUUUUAGUAAAUAUCUAAUCAAUUUAGUUUGAUUUUUUGAUGUGUUUAAUAAAAAAAAUAAAUCUUAGUAUUGAAAAAAAAAUUUAUAAUUUUAAUUAUUUUGUUAAUUUGGGUUGGCCUGAUAUUUAGUUUUAUUUUUACUUACUCUAACCUCCAUCAUUUUGAAUUAAUUUUGAAUUUAAAAUUAUUUCUUAAAUUUUUUAACUGAAUCAAGUCUAAAAUAUUUAAAAUCAACUUGGAUUCCAAUCGGAUAUGAUCUUAAUUCCAAUAAAUUUUCUAAUUUUGGAAACUAAGAAUUAAAAUAAAGAUGAAAGAAAGAGCAUACCUAAUGCUCACUAUAAUAUAAUUUCUUUAUUAGUUAAUUGAAAAUAAAAAUUUUCAAAAGCAUGGGAUCUAGCACGGAGGAGCGUGCACCGGGUGCACGAAGCAUUUCUGACGCCACGUGGCUAAUCAUAAUACGUGCUUUCCCGUGCUUGCCUUUUUCACCCCAUCCCGCGCACUCCACGUGUACCACGUGGGCCCCAGCUUAUCCCCUGUCCCCGCCACAAACUCAACCGCUCGUUCUCCCUCCAACGCCCCCAAAUCAAAACCACACAAUUCCCUCUCUCCACCACAACGCAAACACCUCCCCUUCCCAACCUCAGCGAGAGCAAAAAAAAAAUAAAAAUAAAAAAAUAAUAAUAAUAGUAAAAGAGCAAGCAAUCGAUGUCGUCCUCAGCCGCCGCGCUCCGCCUAUCCUCGCCGCUCCCCUUGGCCUCGUCCUGCGGGCGUCGGCGGCGGAGGGGCCGCGCGGCCGCAUUUUCAAUACGGUGCGGGAUUGGGGACUUGAUCGGGGGCGACCUGGUCCGGCCGGACCUGGGGCGGUGGCUCGACGACGUGGAGAAGCACAAGGCGCUGGCGGUGUACUCGCCGCACGAGGGCGGGUACGAGGGCCGGUACCUCAACCGCCUCCGCUACAAGGGCUACCGCUUUCUCGACCUCACCGCCCGCGGCCUCGGCGACCCCGAGUCCACCCUCACCAAGAUCCACCCCGUCUGCCCUGUACGUCCAUCCGUCGUUCCCCUCCCUCUCUCUUAUAUUUUUUUUCUGUCUGUUUAGCUACGCUUCUGCUUUCAUUUUUAAGUCUUAAAAUUUUACCUCAGCGAUAAAAUAAAAAAAUAAGAUACGUUUUAAUGUGAUAGUAAGCGCAAUUCAAUUAAGUCCUAUAAUCUAUCACUUAUAACUUAUGGAUGAUGGAACCGCUUCUAAUAGUAAUAUUGAUUAUAACACUGAUAUUGUACCUAUGAUUUAUGACAGGACAGAGCUCACAUCUAAUUAUAUUUCAUAUUACUUUUAUAUAUUAUUUAUUUUUUCAUGCACCAUAUUGCUGACUUGGAAAACUAAAGAGUGCAGCCUCACCUUGGAAGACAGCCCAUAGCAAGAUGGUAUUUCCCUCCUGAGGUGGAUUACAGGCUUUCUUUGUUGCAUCCAGAUGCCAUAGGCCUUGUUGUAUGGAUUAUUGAAGCAAAGGUUUAGCUUCUCAGCUAUUUUUUAACAUUUAGAUAACAAAAAAUUUAAAGCAUUAUUAGUGUACUUGGUCGCAUUCUCUCUGUCUACGCACUUUAUAUUUCUUUUAGAAAUAAACUUAGCUGGAAAUGUGAAUCAACUAGAAUUUGAAUUUAAGAUCUCGAAUACCAACCACUAAAUCCUUUACUACUUGUGUUAGGAAUGGUCGGUAUUGAAUAUAAAUAUUAUAAAUACCGUUUUUUGAUAGUUUAAACUUUAAAAAAAAUAAUACUUGUUUAUAUUAUUUAGCAUGCUAUUUAUGUAGAAAUCUCUGAAUUCGAAUCUCAUUGGCCUUCUAGUCUCAUUUAAUUUCUUCCCAUUUUAGGUUUGUCAAAAUAUCUCGAACUCAGAUAUGAGAAAAAAAUAUUGAAAACAGAUAUUCUAAACAUCGUUCUAGCUCAAGUUUUUAAAGAAAAUUAGUUGUUUUAUAUCAUUUAACACUCUUCUCAUCGGUGAUUGUUUGGUAGGUUCUAUCAAAGGCCGAACUGCAGUUCCUUGCGCUGCUUCCGAGCCUUCGACCUAAAGUUAGAGUUAUUGCAGAAUGCGGCAACUGGUAAUAUAACGGGAGCUAAAAUUGAGUUUUUGCACCUCAGAAGCAGAUGUUUCAUUUGAUACUUUUUCUUUUUUUUUGGCGAUGAAAAUACUUAAUGAAAGAGAUAUAUGGAUAAUUCUGUUAAAAGAUAUAUUCAAAAAAUACUCCUGCAAAAGCUCUUAUAUAGCCCAAUGGGCCAUAAGUUCAUAACUUCUUAAGUUUUAGAUAAAAAAUAAGAUGAAAAUCAUAAAGAAGAUAAAGUUUCUUCUUUUCUCUCUUUUUUUUUUUGUGCAGGAGAAAAUUUGUGUGGAAGCCACUGAAAGAAAUAGCAGGUCUUUCACCAGGGGGAGAACUAGAAACCAGUGGUUCACAACAAUGACUAUGGGAAGCUAAUUUUGCAAAAUUUAGAUCUUGAUUUGUGUUCAUGUUCUUUUUUAUCUGCUUCAAGCAGCUGCAAUAUAUUUCAUGCACAGUUUUAACUAAUUUGAAGUGCAAAAUCGCUGGACGCGUUGUUUAAGAUGAUACAGGCAUGCAUAAUUAAUUAUAGGAUCAGAGAAAACACAGUAAAUUAGAAAGAGCACUCAGAGCUUUUCAUUUGUAAUAUUGUGGCUGAAUUAAAUUUCUCUCUAUGCAAACAAUUAGAAGCUCGAAAAUUUUCUUUUGCUAAACCUUUCCCCCCUAUUUUUUCUUUUUUUUAAUCUUCAUUUGUCGACUUGUUCACUCUUAAUUAUCUUUGACUGUUUUACUUUAGUUCAAAUUUGUAGAAUUUGAUUUUUAAUUUUAUAAAAUUUAGUCCCACAUUGAAAAUGAUACUAAAACUAGAUACCAUUAUUAUAGUUAAGGUAAAAAGCACAUUAAGUUGUCGACAAGCUCGAGCACAGGGAUAGGUCGGGAUAUUUUAAGAGAUAUAAUAAUAUCUAAUACUCAGCUCAAAAUUUGAAAAAUAUUUUAUUUAUUUGUGAAGAAUCAAAAUAUUUUUAUUGAUUUUAAAUAAUAAUAUUUUUUUAAGAAAUAUCCCUGUUUCUUCUGGAGUUUAUUAAUUUGCUUGGAUUUAGAAGAAUGUUCUAAAUAGUGAAGAAUAAAUUUGAAAUUGAUUUUAAAAAAUUCCUUCAAACAUUUUGAUCUUCUCUAGAGUUCACUGAUGAAACUAGAUUUUAGACGAAUAUUUUGAAUAUUAAUAAAUUAAAAUUAAAAUUUUAAAUAGUAGUAAAGUAUAAAUAAGCAAAAGUCCCUUAUUUUAAUUUAUCCUUGUGUGUCUCUUGAAGUUUAAACCAGCUUAAUUUUUUUUUUUGAGAAAGAUAGAUAGUCUGCUAUCCGCUUUGUUUAUUUCAUUUAAAAAUAAACUUAGCUGAAAAUAUGAAUCAAUUAUAAUUCGAAUUUGGGACCUUAGAUAUCAAUCACCAAGCCCUCUGUUCGCUAAGGACAAUCGGUCAGACCACCUUAAGUUCCUCGACAACCUUACGCUACUACCGUUUUAAGUUUUAACCAAAAGCACAGGAAAAAAAAAUAACACUUAUUAAGGGAUGAUAUCUAAUAUGACUUUUAAAAUUUUAAAAAUAUUUUAUUUAUUUUGAGACAAUAUAGAUAUUUUUAUUGAUUUUAAAAAAUUCUUUCAAAUAUCCCUAUUUCUCAUCAUGUUUACUAAUGAGGUUGAAUUUUUUUUAAAAAAAAAUUGAUAAUUUUAAAAUAAAUUUAAAAUUUUCAAUAGUACCAAAGAGUAAAUAAAUAAAGGUAAACUUCAAAUACCAUCAUGUAGUUUUGCACUUUCUCAUUUUAGUAUUUUGUGGUUUUCUCUUUUUUUUUCGUUAGCGCCUUUGUUAACUUUUCGUUAAAUCAUAUACAAAAAACUUCAGAUACCCUACUUAUGAUUUAUCGAAUAUUUACUUUAGUAUCAUGUGGUUUAUCAAAUUUUCACUUUACCAUACUAUGAUUUUAACUUUGUCACCGAUUUAAUGAAAAAAAUUAAUAGAGGGAACAACGAAAAGAGAAAAAUAAGAUUACGAGAUAUAAAAGUNAUCAGAGAAAACACAGUAAAUUAGAAAGAGCACUCAGAGCUUUUCUUUUGUAAUAUGAGUGAGGCUACUAUGCUAUCGGAAGCAUGGAGCCUUCCGUGCUUCCAACUCGUUUUCGAUAUUGUGACUUUCAAAUCGUCGAUCGGCUCCGUUAAACUUGAUCUAGAGUAUUUGAAGUACCUAGAAAAUAAAUUUUAUGAUUUUACGAUAUCAUUUGCCUAAUAAACGAAGCGGCUCAAAAUCAACGGCUGAAAAUAAAAAUCUUACAAAAUAUAAUAAUAUGACAUUAAAAUUUUAAAUCAAAGAUAUUGAUCUUGUUUUAUAUAGUAUAAAGAAUUUUCUAUCAAAACUUCACAUGAUUUGGAUAUUUCUACACCGUUAAGCUUGCAAACGGCUCACUACAGCUAUUGAAAUUUAUUGAUUUUGAGCCCAUUCGAUCACUAGGCAAAUGAUAUCGAAAAAUAAUAAAAUUUAUUUUCUAGGUACUCCAAAUACUCUAGAUCAAGUUUAACGGAGCCGAUCGACGAUUCGAAAGUCGUAACAUCGAAAACAAGCUGGAAGCACGGAAGGCUCCGUGCUUCCAAUAGCAUAGGA
This 49568-nucleotide long non-coding RNA is filed under the name Ananas comosus (pineapple). RNAcentral describes it as "long non-coding RNA (ACOM_LNC020611)". The stretch from base 36130 to 36391 matches the Rfam family "MIR159 microRNA precursor family". Lineage: Eukaryota; Viridiplantae; Streptophyta; Magnoliopsida; Poales; Bromeliaceae. The record is from RNAcentral.